UACAUGGGGACCUGGGGUGGCUUGUACGACUGGGGCCAUGGUGUAGCCUGCAGUUCUGUUGAGAGAGGAGAAGCAUCAUCGAAAGCAAAAUUUCCAUGAUGGAAAUCUUCAUACCAGUCGUCCUCAUUGUAAAAGCCUUCUUGAUGAAGCUCUCUGCGCGGAGGCCUUCGGUUCUGAUCAUCUUGAACAAGAUGACGAACCUAUUCCGAAGCUUCAUCUAUCUGUCUCUGAAGAUCAGCUAGACGAGCCAUCUUCUCCUUCUUUUGUUGCACCUGCUGCUGAAGGAUCUCCAGGUUUUGGAUCUCCUGAUCCAAGUCGUCCUCCGGAGGCGUUGGACUAGCGGCCUUCCUCUUCUGGCUUCGGGCCUCCCUAAGGGAAAGGACGUCCUGAUUGGGGUCCAGCGGCUGCAGAGUGGCAGCCCCUGUUGCUGAAGCUUUUUUCGGCGGCAUGACGAAGGUGAUGCUUGCCGAAGGUGUUCAAGGCUCAAGAAAUGGAAAUGAGUUCACCGGAGGUGGGCGCCAAUGUUGGGGACUUGUUCUCAAAUGCUAUGAAUUAAGAACAAGGCAACAUAAAAUGUUAAAUAUCAAAGCCCUUCGUCCUUCAGAUCAUUAUUUCCCUUCGGGUAUAAUGAGUUUAGGACGAAGGUUAUGAAGGACAUACCUUCACGAACAUGAUAAAAGAUUGAAAACAUUCAUACAAAAUACAGAAAGUAACAUAAUUUUUGUAAACAUUAUUAUUAAUCUAUUUUCAUUUAUAUUCCUUGUAUAAACAAUAGUAAAUUAUAAGUGUACCUUCGGCUUGAAGGAAUGAAAAUACAGAUGUGACGCAAAAGUGAAUGCCAAGUCAGCGUGAACAGUACGGGAGUACUGUUCAUCUAUUUAUAGGCAUGGGACGCAGCCCGUGUAAAAUUACAUUAAUGCCCUUUACAUUUAUAAAUAACUCCACAGUAGUUCUUCAGGGUCUAAUUUGGCUUUUCAUCUUUAAGUCGGUUCCCCUUUUCCACUGUCAUGCCGAAGCUUAUCUGCGCAUAGCUUCGUGAUGAUCUUUUCCUUCGUCACAAUCGCCUUCCGUCCCACUCAAGUUUCGUCUUGACCAUACUCUUAUAUACUCGUAAUCCAAUUCCGAAGAUACCUGUUCACACAUUUCACUUGGAAAAUAUUGUCAAAUCAUGUUUUUGAGGACCUUCGGAAGCCGAAGGUCCCCAACAGUACCCAAGGCAAUAACUAACACUAGAGGACCCAAUUCAAUUUGGGUACAUAAAAGCAUAGCUUAAACUUGUUUUGCGGGUCUACUCCUCCAGUGGGUCAAGCUGGGUGCUUGACAGUGGAUGUACAAAUCACAUGACCGGGGAGAAAGACAUGUUUCACUCCUUGCAAAUAACUCAUGAAGCACAAGAAAUUGUGUUUGGAGAUAGUGGCAAGAGUGAAGUGAUUAGUGUUGGUAACAUCCCUAUCUCUGAACACCAGUCACUCUCAAAUGUUUUGUUAGUUGAUUCAUUAAGCUAUAACUUGAUGUACAAACACAACUUUGUGGAAUGGGAUAUGAUUGCCUAUUUACUGAUGUUGAUGUGAAGAUCCUUAGAAGGGAGGAUUCCUUUGUUGCUUUUAUAGGUCGCUUGAAGGGCAAACUCUAUCUUGUUGAUUUCACAACAAGUAGGGUGACGCCUGAGACUUGUUUAGUGGCAAAAUCCGACAAGGGUUGGCUUUGGCAUCGUCGGCUAGCUCAUGUUGGCAUGAGGAACUUGACCAAACUUCAAAAGGAUAAUCACAUUAUUGGACUAACAAAUGUUGUGUUUGAGAAAGAUAGGGUAUGUGGCGCAUGUCAAGGAGGGAAGCAACAUGGCGUUCCACAUCAAUCAAAGAAUGUGGUCACAACUAAGAGACCUUUGGAGCUUCUUCAUAUAGACCUCUUCGGACCUGUGGCCUACAUUAGUAUUGGUGGCAGUAAGUAUGGAUUAGUUAUUGUUGAUGAUUUGUCUCGCUUCACCUGGGUUUUCUUUAAGUGAUAAAGGUGAAACCCAAUAAACAUUAAAGAAAUUUAUGAGAAGAGCUCAAAAUGAGUUUGAGUUAAAAAUCAAGAAAGUGAGAAGUGACAAUGGGACAGAGUUCAAGAAUACAGGUGUUGAAGAGUUCUUAGGCGAAGAAGGAAUCAAACAUGAGUUCUCGGUCCCCUACACUCCACAACAAAAUGGUGUAGUGGAAAGGAAGAAUCGAACACUAAUCGAAGCCGCCAAAACCAUGUUGGAUCAAUACAAGACACCUGCCAACUUCUGGGCAGAGGCGGUCAACACCGCCAAUCAUGCAAUCAACCGUCUUUAUCUUCAUAAGAUUUAUAAGAAGACUGCCUACGAGCUUCUCACCAGUAACAAACCUAAGGUUGAUUACUUUAGAGUAUUUGGUUGCAAAUGCUUCAUUCUUAACAAGAAAGUCAAGAGCUCGAAGUUUGCUCCUAGAGUGGACAAGGGUUUCUUGCUGGGUUAUGCAUCAAAUGCGCACGGAUAUCGUGUCUUCAACAAUACCAUCGGUCUUGUUGAAAUAGCGAUAAACGUGACAUUUGAUGAAUCUAAUGGCUCGCAAGGGCAUGUUUCUAAUGAUAUUGCAGGAAAUGAAAUCCCACCUAAUGAAGCUAUCAAAAAGCUUGCAAUAGGUGAAGUGAAGCCACAAGAAAAGGACGAUGAUGAAGGGAGAAUUUGGAUGACAAAUAGGGUUGUUGAUAGGGGUGCUAAAGUGGUUGGUGAAAAUCCUUCCAUCUAAGCAAACCCAUCAACCUCAGGUCAUCCAAUCCUUGAAGAAGUGCUUCUACCGCCAGAUAUGCCAACCAUUGUGGAAAAUGAGCAAGAAGUUGCUAGUGAAGAAGCCCUUGAACAAGAUGAAACUGAUGAUCAAAUUGAGAAGCAUUCUCUGGUGCCCCAUCCUCGAGUGCACCAGGGCAUCCAAAGAGAUCAUCCUGUGGACAAUAUCCUGGGUAGCAUCAGGAGAGGGGUAACAACUCGAUCGCGUUUAGCAAUUUUUUGUGAAUUUUACUCGUUUGUCUCCUCUCUUGAACCACUUAAGGUAGAAGAUGCACUAAGCGAUCCAGACUAGAUCAUUGCUAUGCAAGAAGAGCUUAACAACUUCACAAGAAAUAAAGUCUGGUCCUUAGUAGCAAGACCCAAGCAAAACGUCAUUGGAACUAAAUGGGUCUUUCACAACAAGCAAGAUGAAAAUGGCGUGGUAACAAGGAACAAGUCACGACUGGUUGCUCAAGGUUUCACUCAAGUGGAAGGACUUGACUUUGGAGAAACCUAUGCACCAGUAGCAAGGUUAGAAUCCAUAAGAAUAUUAAUUGCCUAUGCUACUAACCAUGAUUUCAAGUUAUAUCAAAUGGACGUCAAAAGUGCAUUCCUAAAUGGACCACUGCAAGAGUUGGUCUAUGUGGAGCAACCGCUGGGUUUUGAAGAUAAGAAACCAAACCAUGUCUACCUUCUUCACAAAGCGCUCUAUGGGCUUAAACAAGCCCCUAGAGCAUGGUAUGAAUAUCUUAAAGAUUUCUUGCUUAAAAAUGGUUUUGAAUAGGAAAAGUAGAUUCUACUCUAUUUACUCGCUAAGUUGACAAUCAACUAUUUGUAUGUCAAAUAUAUGUCGAUGACAUUAUAUUUGGCAGUACUGAUGAAACGUUUUGUGAGGAAUUUAGUAGGGUUGUGACAAAUAGGUUUGAGAUGUCCAUGAUGGGCGAGCUCAAGUACUUCCUUGGAUUUCAAGUAAAAUAACUCAGGGAAGGAACCUUUCUAUACCAAACCAAGUACACACAAGACAUGCUCAAUAAGUUUGGCAUGGAAAAGGCAAAGCACGCCAAGACACCAAUGGCUUCAAAUGAGCAUCUCGAUUUAAAUGAAGAAGGUAAAUCAGUAGAUCAAAAGCUUUAUAGAUCUAUGAUAGGAUCUCUACUAUAUUUAUUUGCAUCUAGACCAGAUAUCAUGCUUAGUGUGUGCAUGUGUGCCCGUUUUCAAGCUAACCCGAAAGAGUGUCACCUAGUGGCUGUUAAGAGAAUUUUAAGAUAUCUAGUUCACAACCAAAACCUAAGUCUCUGGUAUCCCAAGGGCUCAUUUUUCGAUUUAUUUAGCUAAUCUGACUCAGACUAUGCCGGUUGCAAAGUAGAUCGAAAAACCACCUUGGGGACUUGCCAAUUCCUUGGGCGGUCCCUGGUGUCUUGGAGCUCCAAGAAGCAAAAUUAUGUUGCACUUUCCACUGCCGAGGCCGAAUACAUAGCUGUUGGUGCUUGCUGUGCUCAGUUGCUAUGGAUGAAGCAAACCUUGAGAGAUUUUGGCUGUGAGUUAUAGAGAAUUACACUACUGUGUGACAAUGAGAGCGCCAUUAAACUAGCCAAUAAUCCCGUGCAACACUCUAGAACCAAACACAUAGACAUAAGACAUCAUUUUCUGAGGGACCACGAAGCAAAAGAAGAUAUCGAAUUAUGUCAUGUGAACACAGAAAAUCAACUAGCUAAUAUCUUCACAAAACCCCUCGAUAAGACUAGAUUUUGCUUUCUUAGGAGUGAACUAAAUAUCUUGGAUUCUCGUAACUUAACUUGAAAACGGACACAAAAAUUGCUUGAUUCACUGAUUUUUGUUUGAAAGGUUCAAACAUUAGUUUUGUUCAUUCAAAAUAUGUGUAAUUUUUAAAUUGAAAUGAAGUUAUUGUGGAAAUAAUUAUUAAAAUUUAUUACAAGGUCAACUGGUUUGUCCAGCUGAACUUUCUAGUUCAACUGGAGAAACCAGCUGAACUUUCAACUUCAACUGGGGAAACCAGCUGAACUUCAGAGUUCAACUGGUUUCCCCCAGGAAGUUCCCUAGUUGAAACCGGUUGAACCGGUAUAUAGGACCGGUUGAAUCGGUCUGGCGCAGUCUGACCCGCGUGCCGUCGGUCAGUCUGACCGUUUGAGUGACACGCGUCAUUCACUUUUUCAGACACGCGUCAGUCACUUUUUCAGCUUUACUUUUGCAGACAUUUACUUUUUCACUUUUUUCAAACUUGACUGCGCCUGCACUGCUCUGCUGCCCACACUGUUCAAUACUGGUUGAACCGGUAUAUAGGACCGGUUGAAGCGUUCUUCGUCUGACUAGCUCAACUGCAUAUUUAUAGGCCACCCCUCACCUCAAGUCUCUCACACAUUCAAGCCCUUAGUCCUCCAGCCACUUGAUGUCACACCCGGUUUUAGAAGGCAAACCGAAUGCGAACCAUGUACGUGCCAGGAUCAGCAAUUCACAUACACAACAGUUACAUAAUUGGACAUCACCACACUGUGCUUAGAUAAUAACAUAAAAGAGGGUAAUAGUUGAUUACAUCAUGACGUCCGAGACAUCCACAUAGUCAUUAACAAUUAUCAAAGUGCGUAAAAGAAACGUAGAUACACACGGCCUUCACAGGCAGCCGACUGGGGGUUUGCCGCUAACCCACACCUAGAACUCAUUAUACUCUUGGAACUCCUGGAAGUCUUCCUCCACAGCUUCAUCUUCUCCUGAGUAGUGGUUGCAACGUGGACAACCUGGAAGGGUUUGGUGUGUAAAGCAAGGGUGAGUACACAUCAACAUACUCAUCAAUUGUCCCGUUUUAGCUCUAGUGGACUAGCUUUAUGUGGGGUGAAGUCAAGCAGUUGCUUUUAGUUGGUCAGGUUAUUAUUACUAGUAGAGAGCCAGGUUUUAGCAUUAACCCAAGUUAUUAACCCAAAAGUAUCCUUUCCAAACGGAAAGAAUACCAGAAACUUUACCAUAAGCAUAAUCAAACCAUCAUCCUCGUCACCACCUGUAAACCAAACAUCUCUGAUCAAAGUAUCUCUAUUCAGUGGAGCUCCCUUGGCCGCUCAUAACCGCGAGCACGACUGAUAUAUCAGUUUAAUAACACUCUGCAGAGGUUGCACACUUUACCCACAAGCCGUGAUUCCCUCUUGCCUCGGGCCGAUCAAACCCUUAAACAAUACCAAGGUGAAUAGGCAGGGUUUCACUACGUAGCUUUUACAAAGAUUCCCUGAUGUUGUAGCCGCCCAUUAGGUUUUCCUAAAUGUACCGCACUCCUCCCCAAGAAGCAAUCCACCCUCGGCAGAGCGAGCCGCAUACACCGAGCCCCAUUGACGGCACGACGGCGAAGCGAACUACACCCCAGUUCCUCUAAUUAUUCAGCUAAGGGCGUCCCAUUCCACCCUCAUGGUUGCACUGUUUUCCCGGGCGGUCAUCCAACGAACUGGUCCUUAUGGAGAGGCACUCGAGAAACCGUUCGAGUCCCCUUAAAUGUCACAAUAUCAUCAUCAUAAUCAAAAUGGAAAACAACAAUCAUAAAUAAUCUCAUCAUGUUCAUUGAUUAGUGUGAAGCUCUAGCAUAAAGCUAAACCAAAAUAACCCAACCCACAUAGGUAAACAAGGACAAGGUAAAUAAAGCUAGUCAAUCCUUAGGCAUAAAUUGUGUAAAUGCGGGGAGUGAAUUAUAAAAUGAGUAGGACAUAGAUGGGUCAAAGGACACUUGCCUUCACCAACCAGCUGCUGCUCACGGUCUUCACCUGCAAGUCCUUCGGACUCCGCCAACUGACUGUUAUCUAUACGAGUUCAAACAUACAUUCCACAAAUUUAAUACAAAAAGAACAGUACACCAUACAGUAGAAUAUAACAAAUAAAUAGACGCUCAGCGCAGGGCUCGCACCUACGGCUAAGCGAGAAAGAGAAAGCAACGGGCGGGGCUAAAGUCGAAGGGCGAUCACGUUCAACAGUUAUUGAUCAAAGUAUUUUCCUAACCAUAACCACACUAAUUUGAUUAUCACACUAUAAAUAGAAUAAAGUUAUGUUAUAUGUUUAAUUGUUAUAACAAUUCAAGGUAAGUUUGAAAGGAUUGUCGCACGGUGAAACGCACGACGGCACAUACGAACUAAACUGAGAAUAAAAUGAGUGGUCGCGCAGCGCGCGACGUAACACUUAGACUGAACUGAAAUAAAACGAAUCGUCGUGCGAUGGAGCGCGCAACGAGACACUUGAAUUAAUUAUAGCAAAUAACGUCAAGCGUCGUGCGAUGAAGUGCACGACAGCGUACGUCACUUAAACUGAGUCGCGCGACUAGACGUGCGACAUCACACAUUAAAUAACCUAACCUUAGAUUGAAUCGUCGUGCGACGAGGCACGCGACAGCAUAUUAAUAAAUCUGAAAUUAAAAUAAAUUGCCGCGCGACGAAGCACGCGACACAACACAUCAAUUAUACUAAAUUUAAACUAACUAAACUGAAAUUUAAACGUCACGCACGCUGGGGCUGCACGCGCGAGAAUGCGCUACGCGCGCUGGGGCCACGCAGGCCGCACCAGGGCACGCGAGGGCCACCGCUAAGGAGGGCGAGCACGGUCGCGCUGGGCGCGCAACCGCGCCGGGGCGCGUGAGGGCCACGCAGCAGGGCGGGCACGUAGCCGCGCCGGGGCAGGGCGGGCCUGGUCGCGUCAGGGCGCGUGAGGGCCGCCGCCAGGGAGGCCGCGCCGAGGGGCCAGGACGCGCGGGGGGGGGGCGAGGAAAGGGCUGGGACACGCGGGAGGGAAGAGAAAGGGAAGGGAGAGAGAAAGAGAGUGAGGGAGAGGGGAGAGGGGGAGGCUCACCUUGGGAUCCAAAAUCCGGCGAUAAUCGUCACCGGAUCACACCUAGGGCACGAGGUGGGAGAGAGGUGGAAGAGAGGGAGAGGGAGCGGGAGUUGCUGUUCGGGAAAAAUCAAAUGAGAGAAAGGGAGAGCAUGUCGUGCCGACUCUCCCUUUGUCUCAUUUGAUUUUUCCCUAAGAUGAGUAGACGCGAGCAUGUCGCACCGUCUUAAGUCGUUGCCAACUUAGGCCGAUUGCUCCGUUAGCAGGGUAUAGUGGUCACCCUAAGUCGAGUAAGUGUGAGCAUGUUGCACUGUCUUAAGUCAUUGCUGACUUAAGCCGAUUGCUCUGUUAGCAGGGUAUAGUGGUCACCCUAAGUCGAGUAAGUGUGAGCAUGUUGCACCGUCUUAAGUCAUUGCCGACUUAAGUCGAUUGCUCUAUCAGUAGGGUAUAGUGGUCACCCUAAGUCGAGUAAGCGCGAGCAUGUUACACAGUCUUAAGUCAUUGCCGACUUAAGCCGAUUGCUCUAUCAGUAGGGUAUAGUGGUCACCCUAAGUCGAGUAAGCGCGAGCAUGUUGCACCGUCUUAAGUCAUCGCCGACUUAAGCCGAUUGCUCCGUUAGUAGGGUAUAGUGGUCACCCUAAGUCGAGUAAGUGUGUUGAUUCCAAGUCUAAUCAAAUCGAAGUCAAUUGAUAACCAAUAGUUUGAAUGCCUUUGAGAAUGAAAUCUUUUAUUGAUGACGUGUUUUCCAAUUACAGAGUACAACAUUGCUCUGAUAGCUUUUGAAGUCUUGCUAAGGAUAAAACUUCCUGAGGUGCUCUAUAUUCUAUGAGUUCCCCACUUCCGUGCCAUCCAUUUGAAUAAGCCGAUAUGAUCCUGGCCGAGUGACCUCCGAUACCAUGAAUGGCCCUUCCCAUAGCGGUGACAAUUUGUGUCGUCCUUCUCCUGUUAGAAUUCGGCGAAGGACCAAGUCUCCCACUACGAAGGAUCGAUGUCGUAUAGCCUUAUCAUGAUAGCGCCUCAGGGUCUGCUGGUAUCUAGCCGACUGAAUUACUGUAUUCAAUCGCUCUUCUUCCAGCACGUCAAUAUCUUCUAGCCUGGUAGCUUCUGCUUCAGCUAUGCUUUCGAAGACCAGCCUUGGUGCCCCAAACCUGAGGUCGGCAGGUAGCACUGCCUCCGAACCAUAGACCAUGAAGAAGGGGGUCUUUCCAUGCAGAGCUCGACUGGGUUGAGUUCUUAGGCUCCAAACCACAUAAGGUAACUCUCUGAUCCGCUUCUCUGCGAACAUUUCAUUCUUGUCGAAGACUUUCUUCCUGAGUGCUUCCAGUAUCAUUCCAUUAGCCCUUUCCACCUGUCCAUUAGCUCUUGGGUGUGCUACCGAUACAUAUUUGAUCUGGAUGCUCCGUUGUUCGCAGAAAUCAAAGAAUUCAGAGCUAGUGAAGUUGGAUCCCAGGUCAGUUAUGAUGCUAUUCGGUAUCCCAAACCUGAAUAUUAUAUCUUGUAUGAAUUCCACUACCUUGGCUGAAGUUAGAGAAGCAAUGGGUUUGUAUUCUAUCCAUUGGUGAAUUUAUCAAUGGCGACCAACACGUGAGUAUAGCCUCCUUGAGCUUUCUUGAAGGGUCCAGUCAUGUCCAGUCCCCAGCACGCAAAUGGCCAUGUUACAGGUAUGGUCUGCAGUUGCUGUGCUGGUAAAUGUUGUUGCUUUGACAAGAAUUGGCAAGCUUCACAUCUCUGGACUAACUUGGCUGCAUCACUCUUUGCUGUUGGCCAAUAGAAACCAGACCUGAAGACUUUCCCAACCAGAGUUCUGGAUGCUGCGUGUAUUCCACACUGUCCGGCGUGAAUCUCAUCUAGUAGUUGUCUCCCAGUGAUCAAGGAAAUGCAUUUCAUGAGGAUUCCUGUUGCACCCAUUCUAUACAGUGCAUCCCCUAUAAGGGUGUAGUGGGCCGACUGUCUUGCGAUGCAUUCUGCUGCGGCCUUAUCAUCCGGUUCUUCUUCAUUCUUUAUAUACCUGAUGAUAGGCUCUCUCCAGUCGUUAGAGUCUGACUCUGGCUGGCUCAAAGCGUUGCAUUCUUCCGUCUGAUCUGAGGGAAUGCUUGGACGUGACACUGAAAGGGAAAUGUGCCCUUGGGCCAUUUCUAAGUAUUUUGGUGAUUGAGUGCCAACACAAGUGCUUAAAUGUAAAUCUAUGCCCAUGGAUGGACAAGUUGCAAAUCAAAAGUAAAGGUAUGUUUCUAAGCCUUAAUACAUUGGUUUUGUGUACUAAUAUACUUGUCUAAGUGUUAGAAACAGAAAGAAGAGAAGAGUUGGCUGUGUACAGCCAAAAGGCUGUUUCGGUCUGGGGCACCGGACUGUCCGGUUGUGCACCGGACAGUGUCCGGUGGUGCACCGGACAGUGUCCGGUGCGCCAGGCUGCCUCGGGCGAAGAGGCCGCUCUCGGGAAUUUGCCGACGGCGUACGGCUAAAAUUCACCGGACUGUCCGGUGUGCACCGGACUGUCUGGUGAGCCAACGGUCGGCUGGGCCAACGGUCGGCCGCGCGAUCUGCGCGAGACACGUGGCCAAGCCAACGGUUGAAAGGGGGCACCGGACUGUCCGGUGUGCACCGGACAUGUCCGGUGCGCCAACGGCUCCCAGAUCUUCAACGGUCAGCAACGGUCGGCUGAGCUGUUUAAGGAAGGAAAUCGGGCACCGGACAGUGUCCGGUGUGCACCGGACUGUCUGGUGCGCCCGACGACAGAAGGCAAGGAUGGCCUUCCAGAUUUGUUCUCAACGGCUCCUAGCUGCCUUGGGGCUAUAAAAGGGACCCCUAGGCGCAUGGAGGAGGACACCAAGCAUUCCUACAACAUUCCUAAGCACCAAGACAUCGAUCUCGCGCAUUCGUUUCAUUGUGAUAGCAUAUAGAGCUCUUGUGGAGUUGUGAACUCUUUGAGUUGUGUUGCGAACUCUUGUUGCUACUUGUGUGCGUGUUGUUGCUCUGAUCUUUUGAAGUCUUGUGUGCGUUGCUCAUUCCCCCCCUUGCUCUGUGUUUCUUUGUGAACUUCAAUUGUAAGGGCGAAAGGCUCCAAGUUGUGGAGAUUCCUCGCAAACGGGAUUGAGAAAAAGCAAGCAAAACACCGUGGUAUUCAAGUGGGUCUUUGGACCGCUUGAGAGGGGUUGAUUGCAACCCUCGUCCGUUGGGACGCCACAACGUGGAGUAGGCAAGCGUUGGUCUUGGCCGAACCACGGGAUAAUCCACUGUGUCAUCUCUGUGAUUGAUCUCUUGUGGUAUUGUGUUGUUGAGACUCCUUUAUAGCCACUUGGCAAUUAUUGUGCUAACACUUAACAAGUUUUUGUGGCUAUAAGUUUAAGUUUUAUAGGAUCACCUAUUCACCCCCCCUCUAGGUGCUCUCAAUUGGUAUCGGAGCCGUUCUCUUCAAGAAAGGGACUAACCGCCCGAAGAGAUGGAUCCUAAGGGGAAGGGAAUCGUGAUCAACGAUAAGGAAAAGGAGUCCUUCGUCAACGAGCCCAAAGAUGACAAGCCUACCGACUCCGGCUCGGGCCAUAGACGGAAGGAAGGGAAGAAGAAGAAGACAAGGCGCAUCAAGGAGAUCGUCUACUACGACGACAGCGACGAAUCUUCCUCUUCCCAAAAGGACAACGACGACAACGACUAUGACAAACAAAAGACGGUUAACUCAAACUUUUCUUUUGAUUAUUCGCGCAUUCCGCAUAGCUCAAAUGCUCAUUUGCUCCCCAUUCCACUUGGCAAGCCUCCUCACUUUGAUGGAGAGGACUACGGAUUUUGGAGUCACAAAAUGCGUACUCACCUAUUUUCUCUCCAUCCAAGCAUUUGGGAGAUUGUGGAAAGUGGAAUGAAAUUUGAUAGCUCGGAUAGCCCUUCGUUUAUUAAUGAACAGAUCCAUAAAAAUGCACAAGCUACUACUGUGUUGCUAGCCUCUUUGUGCAGGGACGAGUAUCACAAGGUGAGCGGCUUGGACAAUGCCAAGCAGAUUUGGGACACCCUCAAGAUCUCUCAUGAGGGGAAUGAUGUCACCUUACUCACCAAGAUGGAGUUGGUGGAGGGCGAGCUCGGACGAUUCGCGAUGAUAAGGGGCGAGGAGCCGACACAAACAUACAACCGGCUCAAGAUCCUUAUCAACAAAAUAAGGAGCUACGGAAGCACGCGAUGGACGGAUCACGACGUCGUCCACCUAAUGCUAAGGUCAUUUACCGUUCUUGAUCCUCACUUGGUGAACAAUAUUCGUGAAAAUCCUAGGUACAUCAAGAUGUCGCCCGAAGAAAUUCUUGGAAAAUUUGUAAGCGGGCGAAUGAUGAUCAAGGAGGCGAGGUACGUGGACGACGCGUUGAAUGGCCCAAUCCAUGAGCCUCAACCCAUUGCUCUCAAGGCAACAAGGAGCAAGGAGGCGCUACCCAGCAAGGUGGCGCAAAUUGAGGCGGCCGGUCUUAAUGAUGAAGAGAUGGCCCUCAUCAUCAAAAGAUUCAAGACGGCACUAAAGGGUCGCAAGGGACAGCCAAGCAAGACUAAGACCAAGGGAAAGCGAUCAUGCUUCAAAUGCGGUAAGCUUGGUCAUUUUAUUGCUAACUGUCCCGACAAUGAUAGUGACCAGGAACACGGGAGCAAGAGGGAAAAGAAGAAGCAUUACAAGAAGGCCAAGGGCGAGGCACAUAUCGGAAAGGAGUGGGAUUCGGAUUGCUCCUCCUCCGACUCCGACAAUGAAGGACUCGCCGCCACUGCCUUCAACAAGUCAUCCCUCUUCCCCAACGAGCGUCACACAUGCCUUAUGGCAAGGGAGAAGAAGGUAUGUAAUCAAAACAAUGUCACUUAUGAUUCUUUCAGUGAUGAUGAGUCUAGUGAUGAUGAAAUAGAUUACUCUAGUUUGUUCAAGGGAUUGGAUAGAACUAAAGUAGAUAAAAUUAAUGAAUUGAUUGAUGCCUUGAAUGAAAAAGAUAGACUCUUAGAAAAACAAGAGGACCUUUUGUAUGAAGAGCAUGACAAAUUUGUAGAGGCACAAAAAUCUUAUGCUUUAGAAGUUAAAAGAAAUGAAGUGCUUUCUAGUGAACUAUCUUCUUGUCAUGAAACCAUUGCUACUUUAAAGAGUGUUAAUGAUGACUUAAAUGCUAAACUAGAAGUAGCUAGUAAAUCUAAUUCUUGUGUAGAACAUGUUGAGAUUUGCACUAGGUGUAAAGAUUUCGAUGUUGAUGCUUGUAGUGAUCAUUUAGUUUCAAUUUCCAAAUUAACUGAGGAAUUGGCUAGUCUUAAUGCCCAACUUAAGACUAGCAAGAAUGAAUUUGAUAAACUGAAAUUUACAAGGGAUGCCUACACGAUCGGUAGACACCCCUCAAUUAAGGAUGGACUUGGCUUCAAGAGGGAAGCCAAGAACUUAACAAGCCAUAAGGCUCCCAUUCCCGCUAAGGAGAAAGGGAAGGCCUCUAUGGCUACUAGUGCUAAAAAGAACCAUGCCUUUUUGUAUCAUGAUAGGAGACAAACUAGAAAUGCUUAUAGGAGUUAUAAUGCGUACGAUGAUUUUUCUCAUGCUCUGUUUGCUUCUAGUUCUUCAUAUGUGCAUGAUAGAAAUGUUGGUAGAAGGGAUGUUGUUCAUAAUAUGCCUAGGAGAAAUGUUGUUAAUAUUCCUAGGAAAGUUAAUGAGCCUUCUACAAUAUAUCAUGCUUUGAAUGCUUCCUUUGCAAUUUGUAGAAAGGAUAGAAAGGUAAUUGCUAGGAAGUUAGGGGCAAAAUGCAAGGGUGAUAAAACUUGCAUUUGGGUCCCUAAGGAAAUUGUGACUAACCUUAUAGGACCCAACAAGAGUUGGGUACCUAAGUCCCAAGCCUAAAUUUGCCUUGCAGGUUUAUGCAUCCGGGGGUUCAAGCUGGAUUAUUGAUAGCGGAUGCACAAACCAUAUGACGGGGGAGAAGAAGAUGUUCACCUCCUACGUCAAGAAUAAGGAUUCCCAAGAUUCAAUUAUAUUCGGUGAUGGGAAUCAAGGCAAGGUAAAAGGGUUAGGCAAAAUUGCAAUGAGCACUCUAUCUCUAAUGUGUUUUUAGUAGAGUCUCUUGGAUAUAAUUUGCUAUCUGUUAGUCAAUUAUGCAACAUGGGGUAUAACUGUCUAUUUACAAAUGUAGAUGUGUCUGUCUUUAGAAGAAAUGAUGGUUCACUAGCUUUUAAGGGUGUAUUAGACGACAAACUUUAUUUAGUUGAUUUUGCAAAAGAAGAGGCCGGUCUAGAUGCAUGCUUAAUAGCUAAGACUAGCAUGGGCUGGCUGUGGCAUCGCCGCUUAGCACAUGUGGGGAUGAAGAACCUUCACAAGCUUCUAAAGGGAGAACAUGUGAUAGGUUUGACUAACGUGCAAUUCGAAAAGGAUAGACCUUGUGCAGCUUGUCAAGCAGGUAAACAAGUGGGAGGAGCGCAUCACAGCAAGAAUGUGAUGACCACUUCAAGACCCCUGGAGCUGCUGCAUAUGGAUCUCUUCGGACCCGUCGCCUAUCUGAGCAUAGGAGGGAGUAAGUAUGGUCUAGUUAUUGUUGAUGACUUUUCCCGCUUCACUUGGAUGUUCUUUUUGCAGGAUAAGUCUGAAACCCAAGGGACCCUCAAGCGCUUCCUCAGGAGAGCUCAAAAUGAGUUUGAGCUCAAGGUGAAGAAGAUAAGGAGCGACAACGGGUCCGAGUUCAAGAACCUUCAAGUGGAGGAGUUCCUUGAGGAGGAAGGGAUCAAGCACGAGUUCUCCGCUCCCUACACACCACAGCAAAAUGGUGUGGUAGAGAGGAAGAAUAGGACGCUAAUCGAUAUGGCAAGGACGAUGCUUGGAGAAUUCAAGACCCCCGAGCGUUUUUGGUCGGAAGCCGUGAACACGGCUUGCCAUGCCAUCAACAGGGUCUACCUUCACCGCCUCCUCAAGAAGACUUCGUAUGAGCUGCUAACCGGUAACAAACCCAAUGUAUCUUACUUUCGUGUAUUUGGGAGCAAGUGCUACAUUCUAGUGAAGAAAGGUAGAAAUUCUAAGUUUGCUCCCAAAGCAGUAGAAGGGUUUUUAUUAGGUUAUGACUCAAAUACAAAGGCGUAUAGAGUCUUCAACAAAUCAUCGGGUUUGGUUGAAGUCUCUAGCGAUGUUGUAUUUGAUGAGACUAAUGGCUCUCCAAGAGAGCAAGUUGUUGAUCUUGAUGAUGUAGAUGAAGAAGAUGUUCCAACUGCCGCUAUGCGCACCAUGGCGAUUGGUGAUGUGCGACCACAGGAACACUUGGAGCAAGAUCAACCUUCUUCCUCACCCAUGGUGCAUCCCCCAACCCAAGAUGGCGAACAGGUACCUCAAGUGGAGGCGCAUGAUCAAGGGGGAGCACAAGAUGAUCAAGUAAUGGAGGAAGAAGCGCAACCAGCACCUCCAACCCAAGUUCGAGCGAUGAUUCAAAGGGAUCAUCCCGUCGACCAAAUUCUGGGUGACAUUAGCAAGGGAGUAACUACUCGAUCUCGAUUAGUUAAUUUUUGUGAGCAUUACUCCUUUGUCUCUUCUAUUGAGCCUUUCAGGGUAGAGGAGGCCUUGCUAGAUCCGGACUGGGUGUUGGCCAUGCAGGAGGAGCUCAACAACUUCAAGAGGAAUGAAGUUUGGACACUGGUGCCUCGUCCGAAGCAAAAUGUUGUGGGAACCAAGUGGGUGUUCCGCAACUAACAGGACGAGCACGGGGUGGUGACGAGAAACAAGGCUCGACUUGUGGCAAAAGGUUAUGCCCAAGUCGCAGGUUUGGAUUUCGAGGAGACUUUUGCUCCUGUGGCUAGGCUAGAAUCAAUUCGUAUCUUGCUAGCAUAUGCCGCUCAUCAUUCUUUCAGGUUGUACCAAAUGGAUGUGAAGAGCGCUUUCCUCAACGGGCCAAUCAAGGAGGAGGUGUACGUGGAGCAACCCCCUGGCUUCGAGGAUGAGCGGUACCCCGACCAUGUGUGUAAGCUCUCUAAGGCGCUCUAUGGACUUAAGCAAGCCCCAAGAGCAUGGUAUGAAUGCCUUAGAGACUUUCUAAUUGUUAAUGCUUUCAAGGUUGGGAAAGCUGAUCCAACUCUUUUUACAAAGACAUGUGAUGGUGAUUUGUUUGUGUGCCAAAUUUAUGUCGAUGACAUAAUAUUUGGUUCUACUAACCAAAAGUCUUGUGAAGAGUUUAGCAGGGUGAUGACGCAGAAAUUCGAGAUGUCGAUGAUGGGCGAGUUGAACUACUUCCUUGGGUUCCAAGUGAAGCAACUCAAGGAUGGCACCUUCAUCUCCCAAAUGAAGUACACGCAAGAUCUGCUAAAGCGGUUUGGGAUGAAGGACGCCAAGCCCGCAAAGACUCCGAUGGGAACCGACGGACACACCGACCUCAACAAAGGAGGUAAGUCCGUUGAUCAAAAAGCAUACCGGUCCAUGAUAGGUUCUUUGCUUUACUUAUGUGCUAGUAGACCGGAUAUUAUGCUUAACGUAUGCAUGUGUGCUCGAUUUCAAUCCGAUCCUAAGGAGUGUCACUUAGUGGCGGUGAAGCGAAUUCUUAGAUAUUUAGUUGCUACGCCUUGCUUCGGGCUCUGGUAUCCAAAGGGGUCUACCUUUGACUUGAUUGGAUACUCAGACUCCGAUUAUGCUGGAUGUAAGGUCGAUAGGAAGAGUACAUCGGGGACGUGCCAAUUCAUAGGAAGGUCCCUGGUGUCAUGGAACUCUAAGAAACAAACUUCUGUUGCCCUAUCCACCGCUGAGGCCGAGUAUGUUGCCGCAGGACAGUGUUGCGCGCAACUACUUUGGAUGAGGCAAACCCUCAGGGACUUUGGCUACAAUCUGAGCAAAGUCCCACUCCUAUGUGAUAAUGAGAGUGCUAUCCGCAUGGCGGAAAAUCCUGUUGAACACAGCCGCACAAAGCACAUUGACAUCCGGCAUCACUUUUUGAGAGACCACCAGCAAAAGGGAGAUAUCGAAGUGUUUCAUGUUAGCACCGAGAACCAGCUAGCCGAUAUCUUUACCAAGCCUCUAGAUGAGAAGACCUUUUGCAGGCUGCGUAGUGAGCUAAAUGUCUUAGAUUCGCGGAACUUGGAUUGAAUUGUAGCAUACAUGUGUUUAUGCCUUUGAUCAUGUUCAUUCUGCAUUUUGUUGCUUAUUUUGGUGCUCAAGUUGUACAAACACUCCCUGGACCUCACAAGUCCGUUGCAAAGUGAUGCACAUGUUUAGGGGGAGAUGUGUUACAACUUGACCCUCUGAGACUAACCAUGUGCUUGAGUUUUUGAUGCUUUAGUCUCAAAGAAGGAUUGAAAGGAAAAAGGUGGACUUGGACCAUGAAAGACUUCCACUGCACUCCGAUGAGAGGGUAACUUAUUCCAAGUUCAUCUCACGUACUCUUAUUGCCUUUGUAUUCUUAUUGAAGAUUUUGGUGAGGCAAUGGGGUUAAAGGGCCAAAGUUGAUCCCGUUUUGGUGCUUGAUGCCAAAGGGGGAGAAAAUAAAGGCCAAAGCAAUAAAUGGAUCAGCUACCACUUGAGAAAUUUUGAAAAUAGUAGAAUAUCAAAAGUUGGUUUCUUGUGGGGAGAAAUAGUAGAAUAGAGCUUUUGGUUUGUCAAAACUCUUGUAUUGUCUCUUUUAUCAAAAGUUGGUUUCUUGUGGGGAGAAAUGUUGAUUAUGGGAAAAAGGGGGAGUUUUUGAAAUCUUUGAUCAAUCUCUUUUGGAAUGACUCUCUUUAUGCUUCAACAUGUGUGUUUGACUUAGAGAUAGAGAUUUGAGUUUGAUUUGCAAAAACAAACCAAGUGGUGGCAAAGGAUGAUCCAUAUAUGCCAAAUUGAAUCAAAAUGAAUUUGAGUUUUAUUUGAAGUGAUUUUGCACUUGUUCUAGUUGCUUUAUGUUGUGUUGGCAUAAAUCACCAAAAAGGGGGAGAUUGAAAGGGAAAUGUGCCCUUGGGCCAUUUCUAAGUAUUUUGGUGAUUGAGUGCCAACACAAGUGCUUAAAUGUAAAUCUAUGCCCAUGGAUGGACAAGUUGCAAAUCAAAAGUAAAGGUAUGUUUCUAAGCCUUAAUACAUUGGUUUUGUGUACUAAUAUACUUGUCUAAGUGUUAGAAACAGAAAGAAGAGAAGAGUUGGCUGUGUACAGCCAUAAGGCUAUUUCGGUCUGGGGCACCGGACUGUCCGGUGGUGCACCGGACAGUGUCCGGUGCGCCAGGCUGCCUCGGGCGAAGAGGCCGCUCUCGGGAAUUUGCCGACGGCGUACGGCUAAAAUUCACCGGACUGUCCGGUGUGCACCGGACUGUCCGGUGAGCCAACGGUCGGCUGGGCCAACGGUCGGCCACGCGAUCUGCGCGAGACACGUGGCCGAGCCAACGGUUGAAAGGGGGCACCGGACUGUCCGGUGUGCACCAGACAUGUCCGGUGCGCCAACGGCUCCCAGAUCUUCAACGGUCAGCAACGGUCGGCUGAGCUGUUUAAGGAAGGAAAUUGGGCACCGGACAGUGUCCGGUGCGCCCGACGACAGAAGGCAAGGAUGGCCUUCCAGAUUUGUUCUCAACGGCUCCUAGCUGCCUUGGGGCUAUAAAAGGGACCCCUAGGCGCAUGGAGGAGGACACCAAGCAUUCCUACAACAUUCCUAAGCACCAAGACAUCGAUCUCGCGCAUUCGUUUCAUUGUGAUAGCAUAUAGAGCUCUUGUGGAGUUGUGAACUCUUUGAGUUGUGUUGCGAGCUCUUGUUGCUACUUGUGUGCGUGUUGUUGCUCUGAUCUUUUGAAGUCUUGUGUGCGUUGCUCAUUCCCCCCUUGCUCUGUGUUUCUUUGUGAACUUCAAUUGUAAGGGCGAAAGGCUCCAAGUUGUGGAGAUUCCUCGCAAACGGGAUUGAGAAAAAGCAAGCAAAACACCGUGGUAUUCAAGUGGGUCUUUGGACCGCUUGAGAGGGGUUGAUUGCAACCCUCGUCCGUUGGGACGCCACAACGUGGAGUAGGCAAGCGUUGGUCUUGGCCGAACCACGGGAUAAUCCACUGUGUCAUCUCUGUGAUUGAUCUCUUGUGGUAUUGUGUUGUUGAGACUCCUUUAUAGCCACUUGGCAAUUAUUGUGCUAACACUUAACAAGUUUUUGUGGCUAUAAGUUUAAGUUUUACAGGAUCACCUAUUCACCCCCCCCCUCUAGGUGCUCUCAGACACUUCCUGGACGAAAACUCUGGGUGGGACCUGGGCUCGACUGGAUCCUAGCUUCGACAAUGCGUCUGCUGCUGUGUUGCAAUCUCUUUCCAUGUGGUGGAAUUCUAGCCCUUCAAACUUGUCUUCUAAUUUUCGGACGACCUUAUAGUACUUGCCCAUAGAAUCAGUCGAGCAAUCCCAGUCUUUAUUUAUCUGACUUAUGACCACCAGUGAAUCUCCAUAUACCAUUAACAUCUUAAUGCCCAGUGAUAUGGCAAUGUUCAAUCCGUGGAUCAGAGCCUCAUAUUCCGUUGCAUUAUUUGAUGCUGGGAAUGAUAAUUGAAGAGCAUAUUUGAGUUGUUCACCUCCAGGGGCAAUGAAGAGGAUUCCUGCGCCUGCUCCCUGCAGUUUCAGCGAGCCAUCGAAAUACAUUCGCCAUACUUCUGUAGCCUCCGGGUUGUCAGGUACUUGUUGCUCGGUCCAUUCUGAUACGAAGUCAACCAGUGCUUGAGUCUUUAUUGCUGUGCGAGGCCGAAACUCGAUGUCGUGAGCUCCCAGCUCGCAGGCCCACUUGGCUAUUAUCCCGAUGGCUUCUUUGUUGUAAAGAAUAUCCCAUAUUGGAAACCCGGUGACUACUAUGACUUUGUGGUCGUCAAAGUAGUGAUGGAGCUUACGAGCAGUUAGAAGUACCGCGUAUAAUAAUUUUUGAACUUGAGGAUACUUCUUUUUAGAGGGCCCCAGAACUUCACUGAUGAAGUAGACCGGAUGCUGUACUGGAUAUGCAUUCCCUUCCUCUGCCCGCUCGACUACUAACGCGGUGCUCACCAUGUGAGUCGUGCAGGAGAUGUAUAACAGCAGAUCUUGUGUCGGCUGAUCUGGCAUGGCUCGGCGUGGUGACUUUAGUACUGGUGGCGUGGUCAAGAACUUCUUUAGUGCAUCGAGAGCUUCCUGUGCUUUUGUGGUCCACUGGAACUUGUCCACUUUCUUGAGCAAUUUGUAGAAUGGUAAGCCUUUUUCUCCUAGCCUUGAUAUGAACCUGCUUAAGGCUGACAUGCAUCCAGUAAGCCUUUGCACCUUCGGUUACCGGUUUUGUCGGAAAUUAUCGGAUUUAUGUCUCGGAAUUUUCCGGAAUUGUAUCUCGGAAUUUUUCGGAAUUGUGUCUCGGAUGUUUUCGGAAUUUUUCCAACAUGUGAUUUUUCGCAUCGCCUGUACGUCUCAAGAUAAGGAUUACUUAUUUUUGUAUUUUUUGGACACCUUCAAUUUUUUUUGGGAUAGAUGGUGUUGGAAGGCAGUUGAGAUUAACGAUUUGGUCUUUUCCACACACUAGGCUUUAGGGUUUUCCUGUGUGGUUGUGAAAAACUAUUUAUGUGAGGAAAAAAUAUUUCAUAAGUUAGCAUGCCAUGUUAGCUAGAUCGAGUGGAUAUUAUGAAUUGUGAACUUUGAGUCUAUGAACUCGUCGGUGGUUUGGUGGUGAGGGCCGCCUGAAUGGCCACUCGGAAGCAUUCCGCAGCGCCUUGGAAGUCAGUGCGCACGGUGAUGAUUCCUUGUGGUACCGGCAUCUUCAAUAUCAUGUACGAAUAGUGUGGAAUGGCCAUGAAUUUUGCCAACCCUGGCCUGCCGAUGAUGGCAUUGUAUCUGCAGUCGAAGCUUGCUACCUCGAACCUCAGGAACUCGGUUCUGUAGUUUUCUGGAGUUCCAAAGGAGACAGGCAUGUAGAUGUGCCCAAGCAGGUAUUCUCCUUCGGUCGGCACAAUGCCGAAAAAAGGAGUGUCUGACUCGUGGAGCUCUUUGAGUGUGACUCCCAAGCCUAAGAGUGUUCGGGGGAAGGUGACGUUGAUGCUGCUUCCCCCGUCCACCAACACCUUUUUAAUCUGCUCUCUCGGAUCACCAGAUCGACGAGGAGCGGGUACUUGCCCGGAUGAUCGAAGUUGAGCCAUUGAUCCGCCCGAGUAAAGGUGAUCAGGUGUUCUGACCAUCGACAUAGGGCAGGAGCACUAGUGGCCGCCACCAGUGUCGAUCGUUGAGCUUCUGCUGCCUUUUGUUCUCUUGUGACCCGUGUUCGCCGAAGAUGAUGUUGACUUCUCCAUCGACGCGCGGGAACGCUCUGCCUCCUCCCCUUCCUGCUGCUGAGGUUGUCGAGGUUCUUCGGGUCCUCCUCGUGGUGGGGGAGGUGGUAGAGGUUGGAAGGGUCGACCAUUCCCGACAGAGUGCUUGAAGUCUCUGCAGUUUCGGAGGGUAUGACACAUAUCCUUGUGGUACGGGCACUGGGUGUCGAGGAUGUCGUCCAAUCUUUGUUCGCCUCCGUGGGGUGCUCCUCGGGCACGAGAGACGGGUGGUCCAGCGGCAUGGACUUCUUCACGAGGCCUCUUCACCCAGCGCUUGUCGGUUUGCUGGUUCGCGUCGCGCCGUGGUGCAGAUGGAGCGAGCUUCGUUCCCCCGAUGAGGUCCUAGGCACGCUCAUCGACGGUGAUGUAGAGGUCUGCCUCCCUGAACAGCUGUUCGGAAGUGGUCGACGCCUUUUGUAGUAUGGCUCGGACGAAGGCCGAGUCAUUAGAUCCUCGGUAGAAGUCCUCGAUCACUGCUGCUUCAGCAACCUCAGGAAUACGAUUUCUCAUGGUCUGAAACCUUUUGAGGUACGACCGAAGAGUCUCAUCCCCUCGGCGCCUGAUGGAUUUGAGGUCCCAUGGCUGCGCCGGCUUGUCGGAGAGGGAUUGGAAGUUGGCGAUAAAACGACGACUGAAGUCGCUCCAAUCGUCGAUGCAAUGUCGGGGUAGGUGUCGUAGCCAUUGCAGUGCAUCUUGCCCGAGGACGAUGGGCAAGUAUGCAGUCAUCACAUUUUCAAUUGCCCCAGCGGCACGGGCAGCGGUGGUAUAGACAGCCAACCAGCCUCCCGGGUCCUACUUAGGCUCGUACUUGUCGACGUUGGAGACUUUGAAGUUUGGGGGCCACCUAAUGGCCCUGAGACACGGAGUGAGCACAGAUACCCCACACGUGUCCUCUUGUCGACGAUUGUGGUAUCGGUCCCGGGGAGGGGAGUUGCCGAUGUGGUGCCUCGAUCGUCCCCGGGUUGUGCCACCAGUUGAAGCCGUUGCCGACUCAACCCUAGUGGCCUGACUUCGUGCAGGUAUGCCAUGAUCCCAAUCAUACUCUUCUCGGCACCGGAUCUCGUUCUCAUGUCGUCGCUCGCGUGAAGCAUUGAUGGAGCUCCGCGUGUCCGGCCGACUAUUGAUGGCGUGCCGUAGAUCGCUCGGAGGAUGAGCGAGAGGCAGAAGAUGAUUAGCUGCCCGAGUGAGCAGCCGCCGAUAGCCCUCAGCGUCUGGAUUCCGAGGGAGGCCAUCGGCAAUCCGAGCCAACACUCCACCGACCUCGCUCGGUGUGUUCAUGGCUCGGGCGAAGUCGGGGUUCAAGUUUCGUCCGAAGAGAGGGUUCUCUCAGCGUUGUCUCGCCUCUUGCUCGGCUUGCUCUUGAGCUUGCCGACGAUCACGUCGGCGGGAAUUCCUCAUUUCCCUGAAGACUCGUUCAUCAGGAGUUUCUCCCACCUUCGAGAUCUCAUCUCGUGAUACAGGCUGCGCCGGGUCUUGUUCUCCGGCUUCAUGAUGUCGCCGAGCAUUCUGGCGUCGGUUACUUCGUCGGUGAGCUUCUUGCUUAGGAGGUUCUUCCCCAGGCAGGGUUAGCUCGUCAUCGGAGAUGGGGGACGAUUCCACUCUUCCCCCGAUGAAGAGGACAUCAGGGUAAAAUGGAGUUGUCGUGACGACAAGCUUAUCUCUAUUCUCCUUUGAGGGCGAAGGUGCCAGAAGAGCAGCUUGACGGGUCUUUAUCACGUUUGCUUCUUUUAUCCUUGCAAUCCGCGUCCAUCUUUCCGUGGAUGAGGUGGACAACGGGGUUCUCCGAGUAGGCGAAUUCUCUAUUCCUGGCUUGCAGGAGGUAGUCUUUGCCCGGAGCGCUGCAAGUUGCACUUUUUCCUGCUCCGUUUCGGCUUUUUCGGAGAUUUUUAAGGAAGGCUUCUUCUCCGGUGGAUCCGCUAUACGAUGCAGAAUUCCUUCUUCGUCUGCUACAAACGAGAUGGUUCUGAAGCAGAACACGGAUCCAGGUCGGAGGACGAUCUUGUGUUGGAAAACGAUGGCCAUUGAGCUAGCUUGGAUCAGCGACACACCCCCUACCUGGCACGCCAGCUGUCGGUGUUUGGGACCCGACCGCACACCCGGGGUUACCCCUCGAGGUGCUUUUGGGUAGGACGGUGUUGCUGACUGUAGCUCGAUGGUUCGUGCUGGGCGCACGAGAGACGAUAGACAAUUUUAUACAGGUUCAGGCCGCUUAGAGAGGCGUAACACCCUACUUCAUGGUGUGGAUCUUUAUGUGGUGGGUUUACAUGGAGAUUCUCUAGUUCGAAGGAUGCUAGAGAAUGGAGUUGAUGGCUAAUGACUGACUUGGGUUUUGAUGGGGUGCCCCCUAGGCCUUAUAUACUCGUCCGUGGGGCGUUACAUGCGGGUAUGAUAAUUAUGUGCUCCUAAGUAAUAGUGAACCGACUGAACUUAUCUUCCUAUAAUCAUGCCAACUUAUCCUUGUUUAGUUCCAAUGUCUGAGGGCACUGCGUGGGAGAAUCAGAUCAACACUGUGGAUAAUGCUUAAACCCAAUGAGCCGUCUUGGCUCGAGUCUAUCCAAUUUUGCGUCGAUCCAUUCUGCUAGUGAUUCCUCCCCUGGCCCACGAAGGGAUGGCCUUGUGAAGUAAUGGGGCCAAAGUCUUUCGUGAGGCCUUCUAGCCUUCUAGUGGACCUGGGGGAUAUCUGUCCCCCACAGGGGGGCGCAUGGGGGGCGGCAGGGGCACGCCAAGACAGGCUAGGUCGGGUCAGACUAAGUCACGUCGUGGGUCGAAAAGUCACCGCACACCCAACCACUGAUCGGAAUCCAAUUGCGAAUCGAAAUCCGAAACGAGGCGAGACGAACGCACAAUUAAACACGACAUCAGGCAAAAGAAAUAUGUUUCAGCAUGCUGCAACACUCAUGUCAACUUAGGUUUUUUGUUCACACGCAAUACGGACACCAGUCGUUAUAUUGCUUUGAAAAUGGGAGGAUGGAGCAAAACGGGAAGAGAAAAGAGAGUAACACCUGAAUUUGGUGAGUAUUAAAGAAGAAAAAAUUAUAGCCCCAAAUUAAGGAAGUUACACUUGAGCUCCCUAAAAUCACUCGCAUUUCACUUGUUCCUCUUGGAACUCAUCUUCUCGGAGCUUCUCAUCAAGAAGGUGCGUCGCCGCAAUCCUUCGGUGGUGGAGUUCAGUAGUGACUCCGAUGAAAUCCAGGAGGAAUCACAUGUUCCUUCUCCUCCGUCUCGUCGUUCUCUCUCCAAGAGAGGACGAGGAUCUGGCCGAUUGGAAGGGGAGGGACCCUCGAUGCCCUCGCAACCUGCUCGCGAGGGGCGUCAAAAGGUUGGCGCCACUCAUCCUCGCCGAAGCACCUCCUUCGCAGGAUACGCUCCUUGCCAGGAGGAGGAUGGAUCUUUCGACGACGAGGUCGAACCUCCGUCGUCCGACACUCCCCUCGUCACCGGACUCCACAUGCAUCCGACGACCGUGUCUCGGGGACCAAAUGAACCUUCGGUCAACUUCUCUUUGAAGGGGGUGGACUCCCUUCAACGCUUAAGGUUCACAAACCCCACUUUCACACCUAGACAUCCUGGUGUUCAGGACCCUCGGUUCUAUAACCUUUUUCAAGCUGAUUUUUAUAAUUCUGUCAUCAUGUCUAAGAAGCACACAAUCAUUAGACAUCGUUUUAUUGACUGGGAGGGGUGUGAGAAUAUGGGAGAUGCUGACAUGACGUUGGCUCUCCGUAACUUAGAGAGAAAGGGGUUGAAAAACAUAAUGACUAUGGAGUACCCCUAGAACAACGAAGUAGUGGCUCAGUUCUAUGCCACUCUCUGGAUAAAGAAAGUUGACGAAAGAAGCUGAUGGGUACGACUACCCAGUUAUGUAUUUCUUUAUCCAGGGGGUCUGGCAUAAAGUUAGCUACCGUUGUUUUGUCCACAUCUUGGGCUUCUAUGAUGCAGAUAUUCAGGGCAGCAACAUGAAAGUCCAUGACAUUAGGUUGCCCAUGCAGGAAGAAACUGAAUUUAUUCGUAUUUCUAUGGAGCGGGAGUUUUGGAUCACUGCCAACAUGCAUAGGUACCUUAACUCUUUGUCCAGGAUGACCGUUCUCCCGAACGGCGGAAAUCAAAUGAAUGUCCUUGGGGAGAGUCGGGUUUUCCUUUUUCUCCUACUCCAAAUAGUCUUGCCCGCAUAAAUGUGUUUGACAUGAUCUGGGAAGAGAUCCUUCGUGCUUCCUGGUCUCCACCCAAGGGGUGUCUCCAUGCACCCUUUAUUAUGAAGAUGAUCGAAGUGGUCACCUAGACUCGCUUUGAGAAGACUGUCAAACACUCCCGCAAUGUACCAUACUCGGUUGAUUCCAGCAACCCAGCUGCUCGUACAAAGCGGGCUCCCUCAGGGUCUGGAGGCCCGGCUUCUUCUGAUGAGCCAUCUCCUCAGCCUCCUCAUCAUGAGUCCUCCUCUCGCGCCGCCGUUGCCUCACGUCUGAUGGACCGUAGCUGGAGAGGAAGUGGUCAGGGCCAGGGACGGGGUCGUGGCCGGGGACUAUUCAUUCGUCUGGCUAAGGGCAUUUUUGGCGCCUUCACCAUGUGCCGCGACCGGGCGAUCGAGGAGUCCGUGCACCAGCGCCAGACUGACAAGCUGCAUGAGGACUUUCGUCGUUAUGCUGCCGCCACAGGUCAUCCCCUGCCUCCUGGGUCCCCUCCGCCUCUGACCCCCACCUUCCCUGCCAACCUUAAUGAGUGGCACCAAUAGGAGUUUGGUGUACCAUUCAUUACUCCUGAGGAUGAGGCCGAGGAGUAUGGUGACUCCUACUAUACCUCGGCUCCUCCUCCUCCUCCCUAUUCAGGUCAGGGACCCAUUCCUGGUGACCCCAGGCCAUCCGGCUCCAGUCACUUUCCUCCUCCUUCCUACCUAGGUCAGGGACCCAUUCCUGGUGAUUCGAGGCCUUCUGGCUCCGGUUACCAUCACCAUCCUCCUCCUCAUCAUCAUCAGGGUAUGUCUUCUGCAUCUGGUUUUUCUGCUGGUGAUGAGCCCCCUCGGGACUCCUCAUUCGAGGAUGACAUGAUGUGGACUUUCUUUCCGGACUACCCUUCCUAUCCUCCAUCCUAUCCUCCUCUGGGAGGGUAUUGAGUCACGUGCUCUCUUUCUCUCUCUCUCUCUCUCCUCGUUUUUGGUCAUUGCUGACGGGGAGAAAAUCUAAAAAUCUAUGGCCAAGUCAUUUUUAUUAUGGUUCUUUAAUUCUUUCUUGUUUAUUUUUUUUGUUUUUUGGCCACUGUUGUGGCUUGUAUCUUUUUAUGAAUGGAUGUAAUAAAACAGUUGGCAUAUUAUUCAUUGUGUUAUGAUGGUCUUCCGGCCAUCAUCUUUUGCCCCAUCUGUUUGUAAUAAUUAUAUUGCCACGAAAUACAAAUGAUGUAUGUUUAGAAAUAAUCAUAUGCAUCACAACUCUCUUAAUGAUACUCUUGCACCCCUCGGAUGAUUGUAUUUAGUGUGGACUUGGUCACUACCUCUAAAUGUGUUGCCUAUUUGACAUAUCAUGUCAACACACUUGAUUCAAAAUUUGUGCACACAUUUAGGGGGAGCCAUCUACAUACAAUUGUUCAAAAGAACCUUACCACUUCAAAUGUUUAUCUUUUUGACCUUAUUUGUUUUGGCAUCAAUCACCAAAAAGGGGGAGAUUGUAAGUGCAAUCAACCCUAAGUGAGGGUUUUUGUGAUUUAAUGACAAAACAAAUAAGGGUACUAACAAUUUUGUUCUCAUCAUAUGUUUAGAAUGUACAGGAACUAAAGGAAGUAACAAGGACAAAAAGAAAAACUAUGCAGUUUCCUUGCAAGGACUUCAUGCGACGGACGUAUAAAACUCUAUGUAAAUCUUGAGUUGCAUGAUGUAAUUCUUCCUUAGUAGUUUUCGCACAGGUAAUGGUGUUUGCUAUAGCUCAAGCCCCCAAAUUCAAAAGCUAUUUUUGAAAACCAAAAAUCUGUUUAACAUUCUAUGGUUGACUAUGGUUAGGUUUGAGAAACCUAGAGUGUUCCUGUUGAAAAGCAGUUGAACUUGUUCAACUGCAGUUAAGCUUUUAAGCUGAACUAAAAUUCAGCUGAGUUGAGAUUUUUUUCAACUACAGUUGAGCUCUUCAGCUGAGCUGAACUUUAACUAAGUUGAGCUUUUUCAACUACAGUUGAGCUUUCUCAACUCUAGCUGAACUUCAACUUCAGUUGUGAACCUCUUUGACCAUACACCAGCUAAACUUGCCUCUUAGCAUUUGAGCUGGGGUUUUCUCCCCUAAACUCUCUGGUCAAGACUAGCUGAACUGGUCCUGAGGGGCAGUUCAACUGGUCUCUGACCCCUCUGACUUCUGACCAACAGUCUGCCAAUCAGACUAGCAGACAGGUCGCCAGAGAUGUCAGGGGCGGUUCAACCGCCCUAGGGGCGGUUGAACCGGUCUGGUCAACCUGGUCAGACUGCAGGUCAGUCUGUCAGUCAGUCUGACAGUCAGACUGGUAGAUAGUCUGCCUGACAUGCCAACGGCGGUUCAACCGGUUUUUAGCGGGGUCCUAGGUCAAACGGCUAGUUUUUGAGCUGUGACUAUAAAUAGGACCCCACACUCCCCUCUUCAAUGCUGCUGAACACCCCCACAUUUAUUGCUCACCUAACUUGAGACAAAAGCACUCCUCUCCCCUCUCUCUCACACUUUAAUCUUGCUCUAGAUUCAACUUUGUUGGAGGAGCUCUUGGGUGUGAGGUUUGUGCUUGUGCUCACGAUUUUGGUUUUUCCUCUCCCAUCUCAUUUAAGAUCUUGAGCUUGUUGCAAACACCUCUUGUGCGUUCUUGGUGUUCUUGAAACCCUAGGCUUCAAGACGGUUUGAGGUUUCUUGGGAGUUUCCAAAUUUGUGGACAGCCCCAAGAAGUUUGUAAUUCCGCUCUUGUGAGCAACGUUUGAGAUAAGGAAUCCCUUGACCUUGGUGGUCGGGUUUUGGAGGAUUAGGGUUGAAAAAGACCUGGCCCUUUGUGGGCUCCUCAACAGGGAGUAGGACACCUUUGUGGUGUGGCCGAACAUCGGGAUAAAUCUAGUGUUUCGUGUUCUUGCUUGCUUUGCGCUUGAGAUAUUUUUGUUAGCAAGAUAGACAUAUAGAUUUUCUUGUCGUGUGGAUCUUGUGGUGAAAUAUCUUUCAUAUUUUCACUCUCCACACUUUGACUUAGUUACAUUCCACUUCUCGAAAGGAUUCGCAACAUACAUUUUCGCUUAGAUAAUAGUCUAAAGUUUGCAAAACAGUUGGAUUGGUUCAAAGUGGUUCAACUUGCCCAUGUAGCAGUUGAACCGGCCUACACCAGUUGAACUGUGGAUUUAACAAUCUUUCGAAGUUUGUGUUGAAAAUUUUCAGAUUAGCCUAUUCACCCCCCCUCUAGGCUACUUUCAAUGUAUCAUACCAACAAACCUAAGAACAUAUAUCGCUGAAAGCUGUUGGCCACACACGUGAACAUGGAUCAGGACCUCCAAUGAAGUCCAACUAGAGUGAACAAUAAGACUAAGCAUGUAAAAUAGGGUGCAAGAUGCGUAUUAGGCUUUUGAGUUGCGUGUGUGCAUAUGUACAGCUAGCGUGUCGUGGAAUGUAGGAACGGGUAAAGGAAUACACAUGUGGUAGUGUAAAAUCAAUCUAAUAGCAUGAAGCAUAAAGGUAAAUAUGAAUUGAAAUUACAUGUGAUAACUAGUAGAUCUUGCCAAUAAUAACGCUUAGUACAAGAUCUAUCGAGGUAAGGUAGUGACUGUGGGGGACAAAUAUCCUUCGGCUCCACUAGAAGGAUAAAAGACCUCACGAAAGGUCCAAGGGCCCCAUAAUUUGUAAGGUCAUCCCCUCGUGGGCCUGGGAGGAACAACCAGUGGAACGGAUUAAUGCAAGGCAAGGUCGGCGCAAGCCCAGACGGCCCAACAAAUUCGAGCAGUAAUCACAACAGUGCCCCGACCUUCCCGCGCAGGAGCCCCGUACAACGGAACCAAGCGAGGAUGGGUCGGCUAAAUUAUAGGAGGAUAGACUCAGAUGGUUAACUAUUUCUUAGGCACGCGUUGUUAUCAUAUCUACAUGUAAUGCCCCACGGUCGAGUAUAUAAGGCCCAGGGGCACCCCUUCAGAACGAUCACUCAUUACUUAGCCAUUCACCCCGCUCUCUACGUUUUCCAGCACUAGAGAACUCCCUUGUAACCCAUUGAAAGGGAAAUAGGCUUUAAACCUUUUCCUAAAUGAUUUUGGUGGUUGAAUGUCCAACACAAAUAAUUGAACUAACUAGUUUGCUCUAGAUUGCAUGUUCUACAGGUGUCAAAAAUUCAACAAAAACCAAUAGAAAGAACAAGACAGGGUUCAAAACAAAGGAGCAAAAAGAAACCAAAGUGCUCCCUGGUCUGGCACACCGGACUGUCCGGUGUGGCACCGGACAGUGUCCGGUGCACCACCGGACAGUGUCCGGUGCACCAGGGAGGAUUGCCUUCAAACUCUUCACCUUCGGGUUUCUCAGGCGCAGCCCAAUAUAAUUCACCGGACUGUCCGGUGCACCACCGGACAGUGUCCGGUGCUCCAGAGUGAAGCGGCUCUGAACUGGCCGGCUUCGGGAAAGUGGGAGGUGGCUCCGCUAAAAUUCACCGGACUGUCCGGUGUGCCAGCGAAGCAACGGUCAUCUGCGCGCAACGGUCGACUCUGCAAAGUGUACAGUUGAAUUCAGAGUGUCAGAGCAGAAGUCAGAGGGGCACCGGACUGUCCGGUGCUGCACCGGACUAUCCGGUGCCACAUGAGGACAAAGCCUCCAACGGUCGACCAGCUCCAAUCUCAACGGAUAGGAUGACGUGGCUGGCGCACCGGACAUGUCCGGUGUGCACCGGACUGUCCGGUGCGCCCAUCGCCAGCAGCUUCUCCAACGGCUACAAAAUUGGAUGGUGGCUCUAAAUACCACCCCAACCAGCCACUUCAAGGUGUGGGAGUCCAAGCAACAUUCCAAGUCAUCUAGUUGACAUACUCAAGCCCUCCCAUCCACCUAUAUUCAUUGAUACAUCCUAUACACAAGAUCUAGCCCACUACAACCAACACAAGUGCCACAAAAGAGAGAGCGAGCAAUUGAGAGCUACUCAAUUGAGUUUAGCCCUAGUGACUUGUGAGAUUCCUUGAGAGAUAGUGUGUGCUACAUCUUUGUGUUCAUUUGCGCGUGGAGUUUUGACUCCCAUUCGAACUUCCUCCAAAGUGUUGGAGGCUUGUAAAAGCUAGCAAGAGACACCAAAGAGUGUGGUGGUCCUUGCGGGAUCGAGAGUGAUUCUUGAGAAGAAGAAGAGCUCGCCGAUCCUUGUGUGAUCGGUGGAGAGAGGGAAAGGGUUGAAAAAGACCCGUCCUUAAGUGGACUCCUCAACGGGGACUAGGCCUUCGAAGGCCGAACCUCGGUAAAACAAAUCACCCGUGUCUCGUGUGCUUAUUGCUUGUGAUUUGUUUGCUUUCUCUCUCUCUAAAGUUUUCUUGCACUAUUCUUCGCUAUCAUCAUUUUGUGUUGCCUCAAGAUCCACUCUUAUUUAGUGGAGCAACACCUUGCAAGAAAGAACUUUGUGUUCUUGCUCUUCUUGUCUAAGCCGUCUUGCUUUACUAUCCAUAUAUCUAGUAGUUGUAUUAAUUACCAAUUCCGCAUUAUUUCAAAGCAACUCUCUUUACAAGCAAGGACUUAGUUUCUAUACUCCGAUUAUUAUAUAUCUUGUUCUAACCACUAAUCAAGGGAUCUAGUUGGGGGAUAAAAUUUUAAUUUACAGGUUUCGCCUAUCCACCCCCCCUCUAGGCGACUUUCAAUUGGUAUCAGAGCUAGGCACUUCAUCUUGAGUCUAACAACUCGAAGUGAUGGCUCGUAGAAGAUCCCAAAAGAACAAGAAGUCCAAAGAGAACAAGGAGGUAACUCUUGAGAUAUUACUUUCCGAUUGUUCUAAUUAUGUUUCUUGGUCCACUAGAGUGAUAAAUGCUUUUAGAACCAUAGAUCCUCAAUUAGAACAAAUUUUAGACAAGAGUAUUAUUCCUCUUAACUAUGCUAGGGAAAAUGCCUCCGAAGAAGAUUUAAGAUGUAUACGCUUAAAUUAUCUAGCUUAUGACAUCUUAAGUAAAUCCCUUAGCAAAGAAGAUUACCAUGCCUUCAUAAUAAAAUAUGACAAACCCAUUUGUGAUGUGCAUGAUAUUUGGACUAGAAUUAAAAGAAAAUUUAAUAAGUCCAAACAUGAUAGUUCAUUUUGUGCUUCUACUUCCUUUGGUCUUUGUGAUACUAACCCUUGCAAGGAAGAAGAAGAAAAUGAACGAUGGAGACCAAACGAUGAAUCCACCUCUCCAAAAGGUUUGUCUUCCCAUUUCGAUUCCCACAUGUGUUGUGUGGCUAAUGAAAAUGAUAGCGGAAGCACAAAUGAGGAUGAGGAGGAAGAAAGAAGCUUUGUGCAUCUCUACGCUCGCCUAAGCCAAGAAGAUAAGGCGGUCAUGCUCAAACUUCUAGAAAGAGCGAGAGAGCAAAGCGAAGCUCGUCAAAGGCUAGAAGAUAUUCUCUCCAUAAAAAUGCUACACUUUGACGAGUUGACUAAAGAACAUGAGGAGCUAAAGUGCUCUCAUGUUGAUUUGGUCCAAAGGUAUGAAACUAUUUCAAUUGAGCAAGAUAACGCUUUACAUUGUAUCGCUCAAUUAGUAAAUAGGAAUACCUUGCUUAAGGACCAAGUAGAAAAGCUAAAAGUUGAAAAUCUAGCUUUUCAAGAAAAAUAUGAUAUGCUCCUAUGCUCUCAUGAAAAUCUUAGAGAUGAUCAUAUCAUAUUGGACAUUGCUCAUGAGGUUGUAAUAGAAAACUUAAAAUCCCAACAACCUCACUCAUGCACAUGUAUUCAAAUAGAAACUAUAUUACCAUGUGCUAAUGCUUGUUGUCCGUCAACAAGCAAAUCUUCCUUUGAGCUAGAAUUUGCAGGAACAAAUGAUGAUACCUAUCAAAAGCUCAAAGAAGAAAAUGAGAGGCUUAAGAUGAGCUUGACACAACUUAAAGGGAAGUGUAUUGCUCAACCUUCUCAAGAUAACCGUGACCACAUGGUUAAGAAGCUUGAGACGGGAACAACCGAAUCAUGCACUAACUCCCUUGAAGAAAAUGUCAAGGACUUGAGGAUUGUCAAGAAGAGGAAACAAAAGAAGAAAAUCAAUACCUCUUCCAAAAGCCUCAACCGUGCCUCCAUACAAGGUAACAUCCAAGGUAAUAAUCAAGCCACACUUCACACUAAGAAAAAUAAGAAGUGUAGUGAAUGCUUUGAAGAGGGACACUUGAUUAGGUCAUGUCCCUACAUUAAAAAUUGCUUAAUUAUUAACAAGGAUGAUAGACUUUGUUUUAAAUGCUCAAAGAAGGGACACUUAAUCAAAUCUUGUCCCCAUUUGAAACAAAAAGGCAUAGGGUUAGAAAAGAAAGUUCCUACUAACCGUGUAGCAAGCGACAAACAAGGAAAGAAGAAAUUUUCAAGACUUCAAAAACGCCUAUGCUACACAUGCCGGAAAAAGGGACAUCAAUGCAAGGAUUGUCCCAUUGGUAACAACCCCACCUCUAGCUUGUCAAUCAUUUUGCAUGUAACUAGGCAACCCAAAAUUGCAACUUGUGCUAGAAAGGUAACAAGUUUACCAAGCGCUAACACAAAGGACUUUUGGGUUCCUAGAUCUUUGUUUACUAAUCUUAACGGACCCAUCAAGCGAUGGGUACCAAAAUGUACUUGACAAGCUUUGCAGGAAGAGGAGAUGGUAUGAAGCUUUGGGAUGCUUGAGGGAGUAAAUUCAAUUCUUAUUAGUAGGGAUGAAAACGGUCGGAAACGGUAUUUAUUCGGUAAUCAGUUUUUUCUUUGAUUGCGAAUAAAUAGAAUAUAUAAUCUACCAUACAAAUUUGUAUUCUUGUUUUUAAUAUCUAGCUUGUAAAGAUUCAUAAAAGAUAAACCUUAAAUUCAUCCUAUAUUUUCUUAAAUAAUGGAUAUAAACUUCGGUAUGGAUUCGGAAACAAAUUCGGUAAUUUUUUCAACUAUUUGUGUUGUAGGGACCAAAUAACACUUAAAACAAUUUAUGUAAUAUUUUAUUCAUAUUUGUACUAAUGUGCUUGAUAACAUAGAAAAAGACCAACAUCAAAUUUUAUACAUAUCUAUUUUAAAAUAUUAAAUUUGUCCUAACAGUUCGGAUUACCACUUUCAUCCCUACUUAUUAGCUCAAGCUAUCAAUCUUCAGAUGAUCUACACUUUCAAGAUUGACCCAAAGUUAUUUUAAUUUGUUAUAUUCAAAACUCAUAUCAUCUCGGGAAGAUAUUAAUGUUGUAGGAAAUAAAGAAUCAUCAUGUGCGGAAAAUCAAGGCCUACAACAUGAAGGAAUGUCAAAGGAUGGUAACACUUAUGCUUUUAAGUGCAAGUAUAUUAAAUUAUCAUUUCUUAUAUGCCCUGUGUAGUCACAUAGAAAAAGGAAGCACUUAAGAUAUUUUUAAAAAAUUAUGUCACCAUUCUUUGAAGAAAUUCCUCUCAUAUGGUAGAUUGUGCAUUCAUCAUUGCUAUAUUAUGACAAUCUACAUGCUUAAAUUGUUGCAAGUUCCCAUGGCAUAUUUUACUUUAAUUAUCCUUUGUUGCCAUGAUCUAGAUAUAGAAAAAGAUUCCAUGUUCUUAAAAGAAUAAAGUGUCAUGUAAGGGAUUCAAAUCCUAAGGACACUUAUAAAAAGGGGGGAAUCUUUCUUUAUGUCUAGAAUAGUGAGACUAAUGUUUUUAUCUAAGUAACCCAAGUAGUCUCACAUUUAGAGAAUAAGUUUCUCUAUGGAAAUGUGUAAUCCAUCAUAACAAGAAAAAUCAAUCCAAUAAUUUAUGUUGUAUGCUUUAUUGCUUAAAUUGGAUAUGAUUCUUCUACAUUUAUCGCUCUCCAUGUUAUGAAUUAGAUUUAUUCCCAUAAUCUUAAGGAAUUAACUAUGCUUGUUUUAUAAGUCAAAACUAAGCAUUCUUCCUGGAAUAAUCUAGUUCAUAUUCCAUGCUUUAGUAAUCCACUUUUCAUUCUUUAUCAAAAUGAUUACAAAAAGGGAAACUAGUGCUUGUGUUGCUAAUAACAUAUCUCUUGAGCUUACAUAUGAAAAUCUACAAGAGAAUAAGUGCAAGUCACAAGCCUAAAGGGUUACUCGUUGCCCAAAGGAAGAAAGGUAAAAGCAAAGGUAUGGGAACUCAUCCUCUUAAUUAAAUAUAGUUCCCUUCAAUGGUUAUUUACUCUAAAUUAUCAUUCUUGAAGAAUAGAUUCUUUAUUGGACUAAAUUUGUCUAGAUGUGCAUUCAAUCACAUUCUCAUAAGUGCACUUGUCCAUUAGAAUCUAAUUCAUGCCUUUGCUGUAUUUAUUUUCAUAUUGAUAUGCUUCUAAGGUAUGAUAUUAAAAUUCAAUAUGAAGAAGUAAACUUCCUGUGAUUAAUCAAAAAUGUUAAAAGGUGCAUAUUCCUCUUUUCUAAUGAUGUGCACUAAUAAUAAGGAUUUUACUUCAUGUCUGUGUGACUUGUGGAUGAUGAAUUGGGCAUAUUAACUAUCUAAAGAAAUCAUCCUUCAUCAUAUACUCCCUUGCGCUAUUGACAUCUCUCUUGAGUAUUUUCAAUGAGUUUGGAAGGAAAAAGAGACAACUACAAAGGGAGGACACUCAAAUGAAAAAGGAGGAUCAUCAAGAACCACAACACCUACUUGGACAAUAAGGUCUUCACAACAAUCAAUGGUGUGGUUGUAAGCAUUCUAAAUCUUUUUCAUUGUGAUAAUACAAGGCUUAAGUUGUUUAUUGCAAAUUUUAUAUGCCUUGAUCAAGAUGUAUAAUGGAUCUCCCUUUAUGUCUUUAAAAGUGAAUGCAUCAAAAUCAAUUCUUUCAAUUACUUGAUGCAUAUUUUUAGGGGGAGUACAUUCUUACAUUUUUGAUUAUGUUAAGACUAUUGCUUUAUCUUAGUAAUUUCAUAUAGUCUCUUGCAUGAGAAUAAUGUUUCUCAUAUAGUAUGCUACUACACAUGAAUCCAACUUGUUAAAAUAAUGUCGCUUUUAUCAAGGAUUGUAGCUUUCAUUGUUAUAGUAGCAUGCUUAUUGGAUUCUCCUAUUUUAAGCUUAAAUUCCUAUUCCAAUAUGUUACUCUCUUGAUCGCAUCCAUUGUUUGUUUGAUCAUAGAAUAACAUCAAAUGACACUUAGUGCCUCAUGUUCUUUCCAAUCGAUACCUCUCUUGAUAUGCACUAAGUUAAAAGGAGAAUUCAUGAUUCAUCUUUACAAUUUGUGAUCCACUUAAUAUAUGUUAACCAUGACUUAGAAAAGGAUCACUAGUUGUAAGAACUCUCUCUUGUGCAAAAUAUUUUCACACAUUGUCAUUGAGCAUAGGUCUUAAGCAAACAAGACUAAGGACAAAAGCACAAUGAAGAGGGCGUCUACAAGUAAAGGUACAAAACGGGUAAAACUUAUUCCUAUCAUUUACAUAUGUACCUAAAAUCUACCUCUUAUAUACACUCUUUGCAUAUCUUGUAUAAAAGGAAGAGAAAGCAUGUCCUUUGCAUUUAUCCCUGCUUCAUACCUAGUUUAACCUCUUAAAAUUUCACUCAUGCAUUAUUGCAUCUUUGCUAAAACUAGAUGAAGUGGUUCUAUUGUCAAAGAGCUUAAAGCUUAACCUUGUAACGAGGAUAAGCUACCUUUGUUCCAAAGGUGGAUGGUCCUUAAGUCUCUUUGAAAUCUUUAAAGGAAAAUGCUUAAAAUGUUUGCAACAUGCUUUCAUAAGUGCAUAAACUGUCUUGAGCAUCACACAUAUACUAUGACACAAUGCACUUCACUUUCUCUAUGAUAUAGACUUGUUCUCAUUAACCUAAUUAUGUGCACUUGGCAUUUAAGACCAAAAUAUGUAUUCCUCUCAAGGCACAUAUUUAGGGGGAGAAAUCUAUAUUAUAUAGAACUAUGAUCAUGCUUAAUUGACAUAUCUCUUGAUCAUAUCUCUUUCAUUUUGGUACAAAUGCAUAUAUCCUAUUAUUCACGUACCAUGACUACGACUAAUGUGUUUCCAAGUAUAUUACUAUGCUAAGUCGUAGAUUGAAAGGGAAAUGGAGUCUUCGGCGAAGACAAGGCUUCCACUCAACUCUAUUGGUAUUAUCUACCCUUCGCCAUCACUCCACACUAGCUCUCCACAUUGGUAUAAUCUUUCACUCUAUAUUAUUUGCCAAAGGGGGAGACAACUUAUAGAAAGGGCUUAUAUUUCACUCAAAGUAUCCGUUUUUGGCGAUUCAUGCCAAAGGGGGAGAAAGUAUUAGCCCAAAGCAAAAGGACCGCACCACCACCAGUUUUGUUUUUGCAAAAGAUUUUGGAAAGGUCUUGAAAUGAUGAAUUUUCAAUUGGUAUAGUCUUUCAAUUUGCUUUUAAAGAAGUAUUUUCAAAUUGGUAUCUUACUUGUGAUAUAAUUUCAAAUUGAUUUACCCUCUUCAAAAUUAAUAUCAAAACCCUCUUGAACUCUAAGAGGAAGAUUUCAUUAAGGGGGAGUUUUGUUUAAGUCAAAGGAAAAGCAUUUGAAACAGGGAGAGAAAAUCUCAAAUCUUGUAAAUGCUUCUCAAAAUUCUUAUUCAUCUACCUUUGACCAUUUGCAAAAACAAAACAUGUGGUGCAAGCAUGGUCCUAAAUGUCAAAAAUAUAAAGAAACCAUUCAUGCAUAUCUUAUGAAAUCAAUAUUGGUUUAAUUCCAAGAAAUCUUUGCACUUACCUUAGGCAAACUAGUUCAAUUAUGGUCUUAUAUAUGUGCUUUGGUUUGUGUUGGCAUCAAUCACCAAAAAGGGGGAGAUUGAAAGGGAAAUAGGCUUUAAACCUUUUCCUAAAUGAUUUUGGUGGUUGAAUGUCCAACACAAAUAAUUGAACUAACUAGUUUGCUCUAGAUUGCAUGUUCUACAGGUGUCAAAGAUUCAACAAAAACCAAUAGAAAGAACAAGACAGGGUUCAAAACAAAGGAGCAAAAAGAAACCGAAGUGCUCCCUGGUUUGGCACACCGGACUGUCCGGUGUGGCACCGGACAGUGUCCGGUGCACCACCGGACAAUGUCCGGUGCACCAGGGAGGAUUGCCUUCAAACUCUUCACCUUCGGGUUUCUCAGGCGCAGCCCACUAUAAUUCACCGGACUGUCCGGUGCACCACCGGACAGUGUCCGGUGCUCCAGAGUGAAGCGGCUCUGAACUGGCCGGCUUCGGGAAAGUGGGAGGUGGCUCCGCUAAAAUUCACCGGACUGUCCGGUGUGCCAGCGAAGCAACGGUCAUCUGCGCGCAACGGUCGACUCUGCAAAGUGUACAGUUGAAUUCAGAGUGUCAGAGCAGAAGUCAGAGGGGCACCGGACUGUCCGGUGCUGCACCGGACUGUCCGGUGCCACAUGAGGAUAAAGCCUCCAACGGUCGACCAGCUCCAAUCUCAACGGAUAGGAUGACGUGGCUGGCGCACCGGACUAUCCAGUGCGCCCAUCGCCAGCAGCUUCUCCAACGCCUACAAAAUUGGAUGGUGGCUAUAAAUACCACCCCAACCAGCCACUUCAAGGUGUGGGAGUCCAAGCAACAUUCCAAGUCAUCUAGUUGACAUACUCAAGCCCUCCCAUCCACCUAUAUUCAUUGAUACAUCCUAUACACAAGAUCUAGCCCACUACAACCAACACAAGUGCCACAAAAGAGAGAGCGAGCAAUUGAGAGCUACUCAAUUGAGUUUAGCCCUAGUGACUUGUGAGAUUCCUUGAGAGAUAGUGUGUGCUACAUCUUUGUGUUCAUUUGCGCGUGGAGUUUUGACUCCCAUUCGAACUUCCUCCAAAGUGUUGGAGGCUUGUAAAAGCUAGCAAGAGACACCAAAGAGUGUGGUGGUCCUUGCGGGAUCGAGAGUGAUUCUUGAGAAGAAGAAGAGCUCGCCGAUCCUUGUGUGAUCGGUGGAGAGAGGGAAAGGGUUGAAAAAGACCCGUCCUUAAGUGGACUCCUCAACGGGGACUAGGCCUUCGAAGGCCGAACCUCGGUAAAACAAAUCACCUAUGUCUCGUGUGCUUAUUGCUUGUGAUUUGUUUGCUUUCUCUCUCUCUAAAGUUUUCUUGCACUAUUCUUCGCUAUAAUCAUUUUGUGUUGCCUCAAGAUCCACUCUUAUUUAGUGGAGCAACACCUUGCAAGAAAUAACUUUGUGUUCUUGCUCUUCUUGUCUAAGCCGUCUUGCUUUACUAUCCAUAUAUCUAGUAGUUGUAUUAAUUACCAAUUCCGCAUUAUUUCAAAGCAACUCUCUUUACAAGCAAGGACUUAGUUUCUAUACUCCGAUUAUUAUAUAUCUUGUUCUAACCACUAAUCAAGGGAUCUAGUUGGGGGAUAAAAUUUUAAUUUACAGGUUUCGCCUAUCCACCCCCCUCUAGGCGACUUUCACCCAUCACAUAAAGCACUCUCGCCAGAACGUAGGGUGUUAUGCAUCUCGAAGCGGCCCGAACCUGUACAUCAUUGUCCACUAUUUCUCGUGCGCCCAACACGAACCAUCGAGCUACAGUCGGUAACACCGUCCUACUACUAAAAUCACCUUGAGGGGUAACCCUGGGUGCGCGGUCGGACCCAAAACACCGACAGUGACACCAUGUCUCCCUUACACGAUCAAAGACCGCAUCAGGGUAGCAUCAUGCUUACCUUGGAAGAUCCUUGGAGAUGGGGUGGCGAUAUGCCAAGAGGAUGAGAAGCACCAACUACUUAGUGAACAUGUGGCAUCCUUCUUUAUUCAUGAGCAUAUCUGUUACAAUACAUAGCCUCAUGAGCUAAAGUGAUAAUAACUUGCUGACUUGCAUUUCCAUCUAAUCUAUUACUUAUUUUCAGUAAAGCAUAUUUCUAUGUUACAUGUUUACUUUCCUUACAUACAAAUACUUCAAUUGUGGAGUUUGUCCAACAAGGCAUCCUAUACUCAGCUAGGAAUAGGUGCCAACACAUGCCCCUGGUUUUGGUUUACUCUUUUAUGCCAAAGCUAAAUCUUUGGCUUGUGAAAUAUUGUCACCUCUGUCAGCGGUCAAGUCAUGCCAGCCGACUCUUCAUUAUGUAGAUUUGCCUUUGGUUUUGGUCCUACGCUUCUACUUUAAGUCGUUUGCCUCCUCAUACUAGCGAAGAAGAUUGUGAAUCAUAUUGUGCUGAAAAUUUGUAAUGACCUUUAUGACGAAGUGAUGCAAGAACAAUGAAUGCUUGAAAAACUCUUUUUAUUGUAAUAUUUGUGAUGUAAUAUAAUGCACACUAAUGUCUGCCUUUGUGAUGUGUAAAAUUCAAUUCUUAUGUGUUUUUUAGUCGAAGGCGAAAAACACAUUUCCUUCUUUUCACACGUUACAAAGGCGAUGCCCUUUCUCAUUGUGUUUGAUCAUUCGAAAUUGUCCGGACUUGUAAACGUCGCUUUUAGCGUAUAUACGUUUUUACUCUUUGUUCCCUUGGGAAUGACUUUGGAAUCCUUUAUACCUUUGCUUUGAUGCAUAAAAUCAUUUGAGUUCUACAUCCCCUUAGGAACGACUUCAGAGCACUUCCAUAUGACUCUGCAGGAACGACUUUGGAGCAUUUUCACUUUUACUAGGUGAUUUCACUUGAGCUCUACAUUCCCUUAGGAAUGACUUCGGAGCAUUUUUCACCUUUACUAGAUGAUUUCACUUGAGCUCUGCGUUCUCUUAGGAAUGACUUUAGAGCAUUUUCAGUUUUACUAGGUGAUUUCACUUGAGCUCUGUAAUACCUUAGGAAUGGCUUCGGAGCAUUUUCACCUUUACUAGGUGUUUUAACUUGAGCUCUGCAUUCCCUUAGGAACGACUUCGAAGCAUUUUUCUUUUCAUGCGAAGGUCUGUCGUAAUGCUAUUACCUUGUCGGGGAAAUGACCUAGGUCCCUAGGACCCGCCAGUCGGAGAGUGUGUUGAGGAAAGUAGCCCCUGAUCGCUGGGCCCGUUUGUCAGUUAGGAGAGGAAGAUACGUCGAUCCUGAAAGGACCCGCCUCCAGUCGAACCCCGCAACACCAAGUCUAGGGUCGGGCACGGCAAAACCUGACAAGGGAGGUCGGGCGUGUCGGAAGGGAACCACUCGAGUGGAUCCCGCGCCCGGUCGCAGACUGACUCGCCAUAAGUAGCCGACCACACUUAACCACGUCUAGAGCCGGGUCACAGCGCCGUGUUGGUCCACUUCUCACUCAUGACCUACGAGCACCUCGGGCCACAUAGCACUCAUCCCUACGAUACCGAAUGGACAACAGUGCAUUAAUGGCCAGCGCACCCCUCGGACUACGACACACGUAUGGCCUAUCGGACUAGGCUUGAGUACGCAGUCCUCUCGCAGGGCACUGUAGGACGGGAUCCGCCAAGCCCUUGGCUACAGAGGCUAGGGGUCAGCGUAGCCAUAAUGAUGACGCCCAGGAACAUCGCCACACCACGUCAUCCACCACGGUAAAUACAAGACAACAAGAUCGUCCCAAGCCCCACGAGUACGCGUGACUAGGGGUGGAAAUUUGGCUCGGGCUCGGUGAGGCUCGGCUCGACUGGAGCCGGCUCACGAGCCAAAACGAGCCCGAGCCUGGUUUUGCAGCUCACCAGAACUGCGAGCCGAGCCGAUCCGGCUCGGUCCAGCUCGCGAGCCGAGCUAACAACGUCAAGUAUACUAUUAUACCAUAUUAUUAUUAUUAUUAUUAUUAUUAUUAUUAUGUUUUGAAGUAUUUUAUUGAAUUUCUUGAACUUGAUACAUGAUACACUUAUAUUGUAGUCUAAAAAUAUAUUAUACAUAAUUUUUUAUCUUAUAUAUAAUAAAAAAAUAUAAUUUAUACUCUAAACGUGAUUUAGUGUGAUGCUCGUGAGCUGGCUUGAGCCGGCUCGCGAGCCGUUACCGAGCCAAGCCGAGCCUCUCGGUCAGGCUCCCAACAUGACCGAGCCGAGCUUGGCUCGGCUCGUAGCUGCACCGAGCCACGUCAAGCCGAGUCGAGCUUGGUUUUUCCCUUACCUUGCGACUCCUUCCCUGAAAAGCCAUCAUUGGUCGACCCUUCUCCCAGCCUAUAAAUGUGGGAGGCUAGCCUUAGGACAAGGGAGAAGAACGAGGAACAGAAGGACACAGAUCGAGAGGAGAGCACUUGGAGACAAUCGGACGCCUUCAGACGUAGACGAACCCACAAGGACGAACAAGAAGAGGAGCGCCGACGAGGACCAGGAGGCCAAAGUCCAGCCAAGCCAAGACUUAUCUAGGACUCCAUCUUGUAGCCUUUAAUCUCCACUUUCACCCCAAUAAGAGGUUUAAGAGGUCUGGGAGCCUCUCCUCCCUCUCUCGACUGCUUAUAACCCUACUACGAGUUUGAUCGUCAAUAGUGCUAGUAGCGCAAGCCAUCGAUGAAUGUAAGUAGGGACAUUCUGUCCGAACCAGUAUAAAUUUUUGCGCCCUCCGCGCACAACCUCCGGAGCCUGAAACACGUACAAUAAAUUGACUUGUCGGGGCGAGGUACGAAACACCAACAUAACUUGUUUAUUAUAUAAAUUUGGUUAAACUUUACAUGUUUUAACUAUUAAGAGUGUUUGGAAGCACCCAAUUUUCAAGAAUCCGGUUUAUGAAAACUGAGGUGUUUUUAAACAUACUAGUUUAUGUCUCAGUUUGUAGAAACUAGAUUUUUAGUUUCUUGAAAACCAAGAAGCUAGCCUCCACUAGCUAGCUAAAGCCGGUUUAUGAAAAGUGAGAUUGUUCUCAAUAUACUAGUUUUUGUCUUAGUUUAUAGAAACUAGAUUUUUAGUUUAUUAAAAACAAGAAGCUAGCCUCCACUCACUAAAGCGAGUAUAUGAAAACUGAAAUGGUUCUAAACACUAUUUAUUAGUUUUUUUUAUAAACCAGUUUCUAGAAACUGAAGAUAGAAAUUGGAUUCUUAAAACUAGGUUACUUACUUCUAAACAGCGCCUAAGAAAGUUACAAUAACUUUAAUUUGAGUUGGAGUGAGUAAUAAUCUGAUAAGAAUGGCAUCAUGAAUAGUGGUCGGACGUGACCGUGAUGACUGAUAACACUGAUGAAGUGCUCUGGGUUCCAGUUUUGGCGGCACUGUUCAUAGGUCCGGCCAUGUCACUCGCUCCUUCUCUCCCCCAGCUGCUCCACCGCUUUCACAAAACUAUUUGAUUUUGUCCCUAAUAGCUCUCACUCCAAACAGUUUAUAUCACCAGUCCUGGGGAAAAGAAAGCAAAGCAAAGCAAAAGCGAGAGAGAAACAAAAUAGAAAGCGAAGAGACGACGACCAUGUUCCCGUCGCCAGGGAGGGCGGUGAUGGCGCUGGGCCACGGUGGCCAGCACAUGACCGCGUCGUCCACCGCCGGCGGCAUGGCGGCAUCCUCGUCGUCCACCCCCACCAUAACGUUCGCGUUCCAGCAGCCGUCCCCUCCCCCUCCUCCGACGGCGACGAGCUCCCUCGCCCUCGCCCACCCCCACCACCAUGGCGUGCUAGGUUACGGCUCCGCCUGCCUUCUCCUGGACCACCACCACCCAACCACCGCCACCUCCUCGGCCUCUCCCUCGCACGCGGCUCCGUCCAGCGUCGUCCCGGCCCCCACCCUCCACCACCACUUCCAUGGCCAUGCAGCAGGAGCGCCGCACGUUUCCCUUUCCCCUCCCACGAGGGCGUCGCCUCCUCCUCAUCAUCCAUGGUAAGCUGCUCUCGCUCGCUCAUGUCCCUCUCUCUCCCUCCCCCCUUCAAGAAAGCUAGUUUCUCGUACAUACACGUGUAGCGUGCGUGACCGUGACCGUGAUCCUAUCCUCCGUGUCAAUUAGGUCGACGGCGGCGGCCUGCGAAGAAGAGCCGGAGCCGCAUCACGAUCAUCGCCAACAAGCAGGCCAAGGCGGCAGACCGCCGAGGGGGAAGGGAGCGGCGGUGAGCGAGGGGUCGGCGGCGGCGCUGGGAGUGGGCGCCGUGCGGAUGAAGAAAGCGGGCGGCGGAGGAGGAGGCAAGGCGCGGCGGAAGGUGCGCGAGCCGCGGUUCUGCUUCAAGACGAUGAGCGACGUCGACGUGCUCGACGACGGCUACAAGUGGCGCAAGUACGGCCAGAAGGUCGUCAAGAACACGCAGCACCCAAGGUACUCGCUCGCUCGCAUCACCAUACGCGUGCGUCUGCAUGCUGGGCCGUGCACGGACGUCGAGUAUUACGCACUUGCUAGCUAGCUAGAGCCUAGAUUCAUGGGCUAGCUCAUGGCCGCAGUCCAGCACAUCACUACACAUUUGCUCGGUUAACUCCCGAGUCCCGAUCACGUGCGAUCCAUGCCAUGGCUUACCAACGAUUAUAUAUAACUGCACUGCAAUUUAGUUUCAAAUCUGUCGAGCAUGCUUUGCUUCCAUGAGAUCACCCUCAUCAAUUCCUUUGCAAAGUCAUCGAUUUAAGAUUUUUGCGGGUGCUUUUGCAUUUGUGAGUCGUGUGCGUGGGUUUCAAGAUCAAAACGUACUCAAACUUAUAUGCCGUCCGAUCCCGUUCUAGAUAUAUGUUUUUAUAGUAUGAAUUCAAUUAGUUCGCAUUGAUUUGCAUGUUAAUUCGGUUUUAUGUACAUGUUUCGAUCUGAUGAACUGAAGCUUUCUUAAUGUAGGCAAAAAUUAAUAUUACUGGAUUUAGUAUUCAAAUUCAUUGACAAUAUAUGUAUGAGCACCACAAAAAAUCUCAAAUAUAAAACAGGUAGUGUGGAAGAGAAAUUCCGUGCACUAGCUACUUGCUGUGUUAGAUUGAAGUUACCUUAAGAUAGAACCAACUAAAUACACACAUUAAAAUAUAAUCUAUAUCCACCCUUUCCUUUUGUUUUGGAUGGACUGGGUUGCUAGUGUUAAUAACUCAAAUGUGAAUAAUACUUUAAUUAUUGUGUUUUUUCUGCUGAAGGGCACAUGUAGCAAUGCAAAACACCAUAUACCUCCUUUAUGUCUUUUUGACUUUGAUAAAAAAAAUUAUCUUCUUGCCUUCUCCAAUUAAUAAGCAUAGAUUCAAACAAUGAAUUUACAGUUUAUUUAGAAGGAUGGUGUGCCAAAACUUUUACGGGCAGAUGAUACUAUGCCCUUUUUGUAGGGCUCUUUCAAAGGCUCCUCAAACAGCUCUUCCAAAAAAUCAACAAAAAGAGGGCUCCUUUGCUAGCUUCUCCGUAAAAAUAGAAAGGAACCAUUCUUAGAAACCGAGCAAGUUGGGGAGCCUUAAAAAAGGCUUCUCUUGCUCUCUCUCGUCUCCCCAUUUUUCGUAAAAAUAGAAGGAGUUGUGUUUCCAACUAAAUAGGUUGCUUCUCCAUAGACUCUUUCUUAAAAAAUAAGGAGGGAGAUGUUUUUUAAGAGAAGCUAGAGCUAGAGCUGGAGAGACGUUGAUGCGAGAACCCUACAAAAGAGCGUCUAAAUAUUAUCAUUCACAAAUAUAUCUUUAACAUCACUAAGAAAAUGGUUUGUUUAUCUUGUGCACUAGCCACUAGAGGCUAGCAAACACUCAGAAAUAUAUUUUGCCUCGCGCCAAAGGUAGAAUUUCACACACACGCGCGAAGCAUCCAUUUUGCAUGUGCAACUGAAGCUAGUCGAACUAUACUUCGAUCAUAUGCAACAAAACAUGUACUGUGCAUGUCAAAAUAUAUGUCUUUUAUCCUAAUUAAAGAACAAUAUUAUUUAAAACAAAUAGUGUAUCCUUAUUAUUUAUCAUGAUAGUUAUACAUGCUGUCAGUUAUUUAAGUAGUCAUUUCGAUCUAUGGACAGAAAUUGUGACCCAAAUUGUGGUUGAACCAUGCAUGUUAUAUUUUAAACCACUGCACGAUAUCUUUAUGCAGCAAGGGAAUUAGAAGGAUCGUGAACUUAUUUUGCUGCAAAAACCACCAGAUUCCUGUAUUUAUUUUGUGUGGUUAUUCGCAGUAAUUUUAUUCUAUCAAUAUAUUUGGAUGGUAUUGUUUGUUGUGAAGUAGUGUUAGUAUGUGAUUUUGUAUACAUUAGCAAUUUAGUGUUGGCUGAUUACCUGUUGUCAGUGACACCUUUUCACUAAAAACGACAUUAUCACUAUUUACAUGUUUUUCCUACAUUAAUUAAGAACCGGUCGAAUGUUAACAUGCAAAAUAUGUGUCCGGAUGGCAUUAUUAUUUACUCCCUAUCCCAAAUUAAAAUAUGUUUCAGAUAAUUAAUGGAUUCAUACAAUAUUUAAAUUAUGUGGUUUAUAUAUAUGUAUCUAGAUCUAUCAUCAUCUAUUUAAAUAUAGACAUAAAAAUCAAGAGCUGAAACAAAUACUAUUUUGGGAUGAAAGUAGUAAUCUAGUGCUAGUUAGUAACCAAUCAUGGCAUAUAUUUGUUUUCUAACUAUAUAUUGUUGCUUCAAUCUACUUAUCGUAUUGCCAUAUAUAUGCUUCGGAUUACCUGGUGUAAUUUCUUAGAAUAAUGCAAUCCAAGGUUGUACUCUCUCUCUGUGUUCUUUUUUAUUUGUCGUCGUUUAGUUAAAAAAUAAAUUAGGAGACGACAAAUAUUCGAGAACGGAGUUGUACCUUAUAAAGAGAGAGAAAGAAGAAAAAAAAAAGGCAAAAAUGAAUAUCCACAGAAACCUCACUUUGCAAAUAGUUCGAUGCACUUGUGCAAGAAGCAAACGAGGGAGCAUUUUCGCAAGCCUUUUCCACACUGCCACAGUGGCUUUUUCCUAAAGUGCUAGUCAUUGGAUCUGAAAAGGAAAAAAAAAGUGCCCGCAAAGCUGGUCCUAAGAUGCACAACUUUGUCGUGUGUCUGGUCCCCUUGCCGCCAAUGCCCUAAUAUCUGGUUAAAUAAAUACAGUCUCCCCCUAAUUAACUCCAUGUAGUUCGCUCAUUAAGGAUAAGAUGUUUUUUUGCUCAGCGAGUAUAGGAAAGUAACCAUCUGUCCCUAUAGGUAAGCUAGAAUAUCGCUUAGUACCUUUUAUAUGACAAUUUUGCAUCUAGUGACACGUGUAAAUACGAUUUUUUUGUGCCAUCUGAUACCUAAUUUGAGGAAUCUAAAUAGCAUAUGGGGGAGUGUAUUGUAGAGAAUGACGUGCAUCUCCUAACAAGCAAGCAAGCGUAGCACUGCUAGUAGUAGGUUGGAUACUCAUUGCAUUGCACCAUCUAACCCACUAACAUUGUCCACUCGCGCGUCCAUGCCUGCUUGCGCUAGCUACACCAUGUAGGCAACAGCGACUGCAAGUAUCGAUCGGAAUUAUUACAUUUUGUUGAGAGUGCAGCAGUUAAAAAAUAAAAAUUAUUUAGAUGAGUUUUUGUUUAUGGGGACUAAUUUUUAGUCCCUCUAUUUUAUUCUUUUGUAAUCACUAAAUUUGCUAAAUACGAAAACUAAAAUAUAGUUCUGGUUUCCCUAUUUAUCAAUUUAGAAAUAAAAACGAAAUAAAAUAGAGGAACUAAAAAUUGCUCCCUACAAACCAAACAUCCCUUGUAUUAUAGGGCCUGUUUGAUUCGCUGUCUAACUUGUCAUACUUUGCUUAACUUUUCUGUCUAAGGUUAGUUCUUCAAUUUAAACGACUAACUUUAAACAAAAUGUGGCACAUUUAACCGUGAACCAAACAUGCCCUUACUCUUCUGAAAACAACUCACUUUUGCCGGUAUCUUAGGAGCAGUAGGCACGUAGUUGUAGUCACACGUACGCAAUUAGUAGGAAGUUUAGUCACGAGAAGAGUAGCAGAGAUGACAUGACAAUAUACGUGACAUGAUCUAUAUCAUCUCCGUGAGCUGAUCCAAAUGAUGAAGCCACCACACGUACCCAGCUAGAUAAGCGUGUAUGUGUAUGUGUGCGUGUGAAUCAGAUCGAUCUCUGAGCGUGCGUGGCCAUCAUGGCGGGCGAUGCCGAGCAUUGACCCACCCACACAGACACUCGCUAUAUAGCUGCGGGCACAGCAGACAUGAGCCCCAGCAUCCAGUUCAAUCUGAUUAGCCAUCUGCAAUGAUGCCGCUAAGAAAUAUAACCCAACCCCCCUCCCCUCCUCCCCCUGCCUACCUCUGGUGUCUGAAUCACACAUGCACCAUUCCCAUGUCUGAUCCCUCUUUUUCCAAUCAGUUGGCAAAUCUCGGCAAUCAUCCAUCUUUUCCUCUCUCUUUUUUAUUAUUAUCUAUGCCAUACUUACCCAAUGAGCAAAGCAAACUAAUCAAAAAAAGAGCAUACAUAAAUAUAAAAAAAUUGGAUUACUAUUGUUAAGCACUAUAUAACCUAGCUAUAGUUUUUUUUGAAAUUAAAUUUAAACAAAAAAAAAUUGCCAUCUUUGAAGUUUGAUGAAGUGCCGGCCAGCCCUUGCUGCCCCUUGGUAGGAGAGAAUCUUUACUGUUUGGUAAAGCAGGGCGAGAUGAUGAUGAAAAAGGCGGUGGGUUUUAGCUUUGCAAAUUGGGCCCAAGUUUUUUUUUGUUUUGUUCCUGUAAUUAUUACCGCAUCUUUAUCAAUCUACUACCAUGGCCCCCCUUAGGCCGGGUGAAAUGAUGCUAGUAGUACCUGGGUAGCUAGCGCGGAAUAUUAUUAUUACUCUCGGUAUCUCUCUACAUAUUUUUUCCCUCCUUCAUGUGUCAGGGCCAUGAUUGAGAUUUCCAAUCGUCGCUGUACUUUUAACAGCCGGCUAAAAUAGCCGUAGUAAGUAGGAGUACUGCGUACCCGGGUUCAAUUCGUCCUGAAAUAAUUGACGUUAUAGAAUUUGUUUUUAUUAUACAAUUCAAAUUCUAUUCUAAAAUACGUACCAUUCUCACCUUUCCAUGCGUAUACCUUUCUAUUCUUUUCAUUAGUUUUUUUUUGCCAAUAUAUAUCUUCACCUCUACUUUUAUUUCUCUCUGUGUCUUUUUUCAUAUUUUAUGUGCACCAUGUAUUUUUCGCUUCUUCUAAAUACUCCGAUCCAAACUAAAUCUAAAAAGCCAACUAUUUUAUGCAGCCAGUAAUAUAGAGUUGGAUUCGUGUUGAUUAAAAUACUUCAACUUUGAUCAAAUUUCUAAUAAAUAGUGUAUAAGCAUUUACGUCUCCAAUUAAAUUUAUUAUAAAAAUAUAUAUUAUAAUAAUAUUUAUUUUGUAUCAUGAAUAUUAAUUAUUUUUAAUAUAAUUUUAGUUAAAAUUCAAAGGGUUUAACUUAUGGAAAAAAUAAAUUUUAUUUUCUUUUGUGGCUGGAGGAAGUACUAUAUUGACCACUAUUUUUUUUCUCGGAGAGCUAUAUAUCAUUAUAUUUAAGAAGAAAAAAGAAAGUUGGGUCGUAGCCCUUACAAAUCAUGACACUGAUGUUUAAAUCCCCUCAAAACAGGAAACAACCCUUGAGCUGCCUUAGAAAAAAAAAACAGAAAUUUAGCCGUGAGGAAUAUUAGCUGCUAGAAAAAUAAUCCCCUUAGCCCCUGCCAUGUCCCACAACCUUGGCUAUUCUACAACCUGCUGUAGAACAACAUCAAUACUCGGAUUGCCACCCUCGAAGACACACUGAUUACGGUGCUUCCAUAAGGUCCAAGCACCAAACAAAGCAAGGGAGUUAAUCGCCGUCUUCAUUUGUCCAGUUGCCAUUUCACUUAUUGUUCUCCACCAGUCCAGGAAAACUAGUAUUUUCUGGUUGAGGGGACAGUAGAGUAUGUAGUCCAAAUUGUCUCAACAAAAGGAACUAGCAUUUCCUUGAGAAAACACAAGAUAGACCAGUAGAUAGUCUAUUGUUUCAUUUUCUUGUUCACAAUCCAAUCUUCUUUUUGCAAGACGGUCAGCUGUCCAACUCCUUUAUACAACGAUAAUCAUAUACGUCGUGCUAGCUAGUAGAGUGCAAAUUAAAAUAGAGAGCAGUACACGACGCUACUUAAACUAGCUAGUUGUAGAGCUGCAGUGAACAAACUAUGAACACGAGCAGUCUACAGUCUAGUCUACUGUCGUUAUGCCGUGUCCUCGCAUGCAUGAGAAUCCAAGUGUGUGUGUGUAUGUGUGCAGCAAAGUUAGCAGUGCCCAAAAGCAAUCCUUUCACUCUUUCAACCAUGCAUAUGGUUAGCUAGGUUGGGUCAAUUAGAUAGAGUAGCUAUACUGUGGUACUGCCUUCAUUUUUAUUUAUUUGACGUCACUUUGUACUAACCGGCGCAAUAUAAAAAUAAACGGAGGAAGUACAUGCUUAGUUUUAGGAUUGAUUUUUAAUUACUAAUAACGUCGUCACAUACAGCUGACAACAAAGCUACAUGUAUCUGAAGAUUUCUCGAUCGGAUAUCGAAAAUCAUGGUGUGAUGGUAAAGAGAUAAAACUGACCUGGGCUCAAGUCUGUUCUGCUGGCUAGCAGCUACUAGCACCACAUACAUUUUCCGUUUGAUUUAAGCCCACCUAGCGCUAGCUUGGUUCGUCUCAAGUCUUCUCAGCUGUACCUCUAGCACAGGAGCCGGAGAAGUCCCCCAAGAAAGCUAGCCAGCUCUGCACUGCACUCUCCUUCUCUUUCUAAGUUCAUUUUGGGGACCCCCGCAUGAUAUGAUGUGCUCGCUGCAUUGCAUGCAGGAGCUACUACCGGUGCACGCAGGACAACUGCCGGGUGAAGAAGCGGGUGGAGCGGCUCGCCGAGGACCCCCGCAUGGUCAUCACCACCUACGAGGGCCGCCACGUCCACUCCCCGUCCCGCGACGAAGACGACGACGCCGCGCGCGCCAACGCCGAGAUGAGCUUCAUCUGGUAGCCUGCAGAUCCGGCUCCGACGACCGGCGGCCAUCUCUAUUCUCUCAGUGCAUACAACGUCGGCCGCCUCCGGUCUAAGUUUCGCCAGCAGCCGCCGCCACCACCAGCAGCAGCAGCUGAAUAUCCUGAAUUUAGCUAUUAUAUCCAUCCAUGCAUCGAAGAACUCUCAUCGAUCGUGUGUGCAUGUGGCAUGUCUAGGCAUUAUGUUAUUGCUAUGUCAAUCGAUCUUUAUAUAUAUACGCGAAUGAUGUCCGUCGCUGCAGGUACGUAGGGUGUGAACUGCAUGGUCCUCCUAGCUACUGUCGACCUGUCGUAGUUAAUUAGCUAAUAAUAUAGUAGUGCAUCCAGGUUAUGGACUAAAUAAUACUUAUAUACAUAGCAGCUACCUGAAACGUGUUCUAGAAUUACCAAUGUUUAUUGCACUUCUUUCCUUUGCUACUUUAAAUUUAUAAGGUUGAUAAGUUUGUUGGUGAUAUAUAUGAUGCUGCUUGGUUGUUCUUCUACAUUUUUACUAUAGUUAGCUUAAGACCAACUCACUCUCCGUAAAAUGCAUCCUUCUUUCCACGGCCACAGUGCUUCCUUCCAACAGUUAUGCACAUCCCUCUCCGUAUGAAGCGACCUCUGAAUGUGCGCCACCAGAAGGAGCUCAAGCCCACAGCCGCCGCCGGAGAUCGCCGUCGAGUCAUGGCCUUCAUGCUCGCCACUGGAAACGAGCCGAGCUCGGCUUGGUGCGGCUCGGUGCCUUAACGAGCUCGACUCGGCUCGGCUCGUUUAUUCCACGAGCUGGCGAAAGAGGCUCGGCUCGCGAGCCAUAUUUUGGUACUUUUCGUUGCAUUUUUUGGUGAAUUAACAUUAUAUAAAUUUGAAAUAUAGAAUCAUCAUUCUACAUUAUAUAAAUUUGUAAUAUAUUCAUCAUCAAAGACUAAAAAAUGAGCUAUUAUCCAUAAAAUCAUCUAAUAUUCAUUAUUAUUCCAUAAAUUGACCAUUUUUGCAAGGCUCGCGAGCCGGCUCCUCGAACCUCGCAGGUAGAUGCUCCUCGAACCUGAGCCGCCAGAAUCAAAGGCUCCAUGUACACGCCCAUUUUAUUCCCCGGUUGUCCGGGAAUUAUCAACGACACGGAUAUAUUUUGCCUUUGAUAAAAAAAUUAGAAUGUUUGGAGAAAGUUGUGAGACAUUAUGUGUAGAAACCUAAGAGAACUACACAUGAAAUCAUAGAGUUUCAAUGUGUAUCUCAUAGGUUUGUACACAUAGUGCGUCACAGCUUUCUCGAAAUUUUUUCAAAUUUUUAUCACAGCCUCUACAUAUGAUAUCAUGACACGUGGACAUGUUUCAUGAUUUUCUGACUUUGUUUGUGUUUUAUACAAAUUUUAAACACCUGGAUGGCAAGUUCACGGCCAUGUUGAGUGAGCAUGGUGCUCGAAGUUUUCGGUCCACUCCUGAAAUCGGUCGUAACUUGUGCUAAGUAGCAUGGAUAUCAUUUUUGCAUGCACGGUUUUCCAAAAAUCGAGUGACCUGCAGUUCAAAUCUGAAUUUUCCGAAGAAAUUCAAAUAAAUGAACUAAAUCUAUUAGCUAUUGAAAAUACUGUUAUAAUUGUCCCAAAAUGGUACAUGUAGGUCUACAUAGUGUAGGAACAUACCAUAAAAAGUUUGGUAAACAAAAUAAAAAAUAAAAAUAUGCUUUGCCGAGUGUCCACAGAAGACACUCGGUAAAGACCCUCUUUGCCGAGUGCCGGCUUUCGGCCCUCGGUAAAGACUGACGGCCGUCAGCUGUAGACUGCCGCUAACGUCCCUUUGUCGAGAGUCAUCUUUGCCGAGUGUUUGCCGCUCGGCAAAGCAUUCUUUGCCGAGUGCUUCGCUAUGCCGAGUGUCCUGCACUCGGUAAACAAGCUCUUUACCGAGCGCAGAACUUUGCCGAGUGCCCGAUAAAAAGAACUCGGCAAAGACUUCGGCACUCAGCAAAGGCCCGAAUUCCGGUAGUGUUUCAUGCUUGCCACCGGCAACGCAUGCAGCUACUCACCAUUUACAAAACAUGUAAUAAAUUUGAUUCGAAAAUGAUGAGUAGGGCAAUUGUGGUGAUUGGGGAGUUGUUCCUAUAAUUUUUUAAAAAAUAUUUUGUUGUUUUUUGGUUUUUUGUGAUUCUUAAAUUGUCGAGCGCUUUUAUUUAUCGAGUGUUUUUCGACACUCGGCAAAGUCUUUGCCGAGUGUCGAAAAAAGUAUACGACAAAAAUCCUUUGUCGAUAAAAUAUUUGUCAAAUGUAACACUUGGCAAAAAGCUUUUGUCCGGUAGUGAUGGUGCACAUGAACUAACAAGGUUCACAAAAAAAUCUGAAAAAAUCAUAUAUAUUCUUUUCAUCCUACUCCUAUUAUAUAAUAUUUUAAGUUCAAAUUCGUCAUAUUUUAGCUGUAACAAAAAAAUAAGAUUUUAGCCAAUUUUAUAAUUUAAACUUGUUAGGAAUUUUAUCUUUUUAUUACAAAUAGAGUAUAAUGAAUUUGAAAUUGAAAUUUGUAUAUAAUAAGAGUAAGAUGGAAUGAAUAUGUAUGAUUUUUUAGAUUUUUUUAAAACUUUGUUAGUUCAUGUGCAAUGUAUAUGCUCCCAUAUAAUAAUGUGAAUGAACUCAUAAUGCCAGGAUAACUACUACACGAAGGACGAUUUGUACCGGUCGAGAAUUGGCUACAAUACCACUACACGACCAGUGCCUAGUGUUGGGUUGGGUCGACUCGUGCCUCCCUGUUUGACGUGCCGAGUCAGAGUUUUUUUUGGGUUGGGUCGGAUUUUUUUGGCUUUGGGUCUGGUUUUUUCGGGUUUGGUCAGGUUUUGGGUCAAAAAUCACGGCACAUAACCGGUCCGUGAAUUAUUACAUAACAGGUCAAAAAUUAUGGCACGGACUCGCCCGUUACAUUGGUCGGAUCGGGUUGGUCGGGUCGGGUGCCUCAUGAUCAGGUCUAGAACGAGUACUAACGUGUCGAGGGUCAUUUUACUAUAUAUCUCUCUCUCUAUCUAUCUAUCUAUAUAUAGCUCUGAGCUUUCGAUGUUGACCGGCCUUGAUCGGUCAACAAACCAGGUCAAACCUCCCCGUGGGCUCCAGCCAACCUCCGAGUCUAACACUCAAUCCCCCUCGUAGAACGCACGCGCAUAAUUUGUGCUUCUGUUUUUUUUGCAAAAACAGCAUAAACAGUUUUAUAAAUAACGUAAAUAGUUUAUAGAGAUAGCAUAAAACAACGGCUAGACAUUGGACCACGUUCCACGGACAGGCGCAUGCAUACAUAUCAUAUUUUAUAGUAGAUUCAAUAACUAUGGCAGAUCAUGUGAGUUUCCAUUGCAUGUGCGGUAAUUUUGGGUGGCAUUUUAGUUUCCAUUGUAUGCGGCUGAUUUAAUUUAAAUGCUUUAUUUCCUCCAUAAAUAUAGAAUCUCUCCAACAUCCAUGAGGCUAACAUCGUUAGAACCAAUUUAUGAUAUAUACUGAUACUAAUUAUGCUAAGGUGUGUAGGUAUUUAUACAAUGUGUUACGCUGCGUAAAAACUGUUUCUUGCUGCAUGUGCACAAAUUUAGGAUGACAAGAAAGUGCGUUGAAAGAAAUGGAUUGGCAUGCAUGGAAACAAAAAAACUGAUUUAAAUGUCUAUUUCCUCCAAAAAAUAUAGGAUCUUUACAGCAGCCAAACAACUAGGCUCGUUAGAAUCAAUUUAUGGUAUAUACUGAUAUUAAUUAUGUUACACAGUGAAGGUAUUUAUAUACUGUGGUAUCUUGAGCAAAAAAUCUAGCAUGCGGUUCGAAUCAAUAGCCCCCAAGUCCAUGUGUCCACCAUAAAUAAAGCAAUUUGAUUAGAGUAGUUGAUUAAGAGAUUUAAUGAGGUGGUUGAUUAGGGAAUAUAAUUUUUUAUGGCUGUAGUGGACACCAUAAAUCAAGUGAAUGUACGUGCCAGAUUUUAUGAAAUCGUGGCAAAUGAUCUUAUUUCUGUGAGUGGUUACCUUUUUGUGAAUUUUUGUUUUGUUGUAUAAUCAUGUGUCGUAAAUAUCUCAUACAUAUGGCGUAAAUGGUAGGAACCCAAUAUACACACUGGGUUAUGUAAUAAGAUAAUGCAUAAAAAUAAUAAACAUUUGCGUAAAAUGUGAAUAGAAAUAUCAUAAAUAGACAGUAUAUGGAAGGGGAGCCUUGAACUGAAAUAUAUAUCGUAAAUUACGUUUGCAUAAAAUAUGUAUACUAAGUAGCAUAAAAACAGGGAUGCCACUCGCACAGUCGUCACCUCGCCUCUGGGAUCCGCCACCACUCAUCGGAGGAUGCCCGAAGCGCGUCGGAUCGGAUGAUGUCGGGGCCCGCGGUGCAGAUGGCGAACCCCACGCGCGCCUCUAGGGAGCCGCCGCCGCCGGUGAGAGCACCUAGAGGGGGGGUGAAUAGGUGAUCCUGUAAACUUCAAAACUUAAGCCACAAAACUUUGAUUAAGUGUUAGCACAGUUAAUGCCAAGUGGCUAGAGAGAAGAUCUUGCACAAUAGGAUAAUCACACGGAGUUCAACACAGAGAAGACACAGUGAUUUAUCUCGUGGUUCGGCCAAGUACAAAACUUGCCUACUCCACGUUGUGGCGUCCCAACGGACGAGAGUUGCACUCAACUCCUCUCAAGUGAUCCAAUGAUCAACUUGAAUACCACAGUGUUAUGCUUUUCCUUUCAAUUUCCCGUUUGCGAGGAAUCUCCACAACUUGGAGUCUCUCGCCCUUACACUUGAGAUUCAACAAGAAAUACGGAGUAAGGGAGGGAAGCAACACACACAAAUCCACAGCAAAAUGCGCACACACACGGCCAAGAAUCGAGCUCAAAAAGACUAUCUCAAAGUUCUCACUAGAACGGAGCUCGAAUCACUUAGAAUGACAAACGAAUGCGCAAAGACUGAGUGUGGAUGAUCAAGAAUGCUCUAAGGUUGCUUAGUUUCCUCCUCCAUGCGCAUAGGGGUCCCUUUUAUAGCCCCAAGGCAGCUAGGAGCCGUUGAGAGCAAAUCUGGAAGUCUGAUCUUGCCUUCUGUCGUCGGGCGCACCGGACAGUCCGGUGCACACCGGACACUGUCCGGUGCCCGAUUUCCUUCCUUAAACAGCGCAGUCGACCGUUACUGAUCUGGGAGCCGUUGGCGCACCGGACAUGUCCGGUGCACACCGGACAGUCCGGUGCCCCCUUCCGACCGUUGGCUUGGCCACGUGUCGCGCGCAGAAUCCGCGGCCGACCGUUGGCCCUAGCCGACCGUUGGCUCACCGGACAGUCCGGUGCACACCGGACAGUCCGGUGAAUUUUAGCCGUACGCCGUCGGCGAAUUCCCGAGAGCGGCCUGUUCGACCGAGGCAGCCUGGCGCACCGGACACUGUCCGGUGCACCACCGGACAGUCCGGUGCCCCAGACCGAAACAGCCCCUUGGCUGUACACAGCCACCUUUUUCCUUUUCUUUUUCUUCCUGUUUCCAAUACUUAGACAAGUAUAUUAGUACACAAAACCAAUGUACUAAGACUUAGAAACAUACCUUUGCUCUUGAUUUGCACUUUGUUCAUCCAUUGCAUAAAUUCACAUUUUAAGCACUUGAGUUGGCACUCAAUCACCAAAAUACUUAGAAAUGGCCCAAGGGCACAUUUCCCUUUCAAUCUCCCCCUUUUUGGUGAUUUAUGCCAACACAACAUAAAGCAACUAGAACAAGUGCAAAACCACUUCAAAUAACACUUAAAUUUAUUUUGAUUCAUGUUUGGCAUAUAUGGAUCAUCCUUUGCCACCACUUGGUUUGUUUUUGAAAUCAAACUCAAAUCUCUAUCUCUAAGUCAAACACACAUGUUAAAGCAUAUAGAGAGUUAUUCCAAAAGAGAUUGAUCAAAGAUUUCAAAAACUCCCCCUAUUUCCCAUAAUCACCACUUCUCCCCACAAGAAGCCAACUUUUGACAAGAGACACAAUAAAAGAAUUUUGCUAAAACAAAAGCUCUAUUCUACUAUUUUCAAAAUCUCUCAAGUGGCAGCAAAAAGCUCUAUUCUACUAUUUUCAAAAUCUCUCAAGUGGCAGCUGAUCCAUUUAUUUCUUUGGCCUUUAUUUUCUCCCCCUUUGGCAUCAAGCACCAAAACGGGAUCGAUCUUGGCCCUUUAACCCCAUUGCCUCACCAAAAUCUUCAAUUAAGAGUACAAAGGCAAUAAGAUCAUAGAGAUGAACUUGGAAUAAGUUACCCUCUCAUCGGAGUGCAGUGGAAGUCUUGCAUGAUCCAAGUUCACCUUUCCCUUUCAAUUCACCUUCGAGACUAAAUCAAGCAAACUCAAGCAAAUGGUUAGUCUCAAAGGGUCAAGUUGUAACACAUCUCCCCCUAAACAUGUGCAUCACUUUGCAACGGACUUGUGAGGUCCAGGGAGUGUUUGUACAACUUGAGCACCACAAUAAGCAACAAAAUGCAGAAUGAACCUGAUUAAAGGCAUAAACACAUGUAUGCUAUAAUUCAAUCCAAGUUCCGCGAAUCUAAGACAUUUAGCUCACUACGCAGCCUGCAAAAGGUCUUCUCAUCUAGAGGCUUGGUAAAGAUAUCGGCUAGCUGGUUCUCGGUGCUAACAUGAAACACUUCGAUAUCUCCCUUUUGCUGGUGGUCUCUCAAAAAGUGAUGCCGGAUGUCUAUGUGCUUUGUGCGGCUGUGCUCAACAGGAUUCUCCGCCAUGCGGAUAGCACUCUCAUUGUCACAUAGGAGUGGGACUUUGCUCAGAUUGUAGCCAAAGUCCCGGAGGGUUUGCCUCAUCCAAAGUAGUUGCGCGCAACACUGACCUGCGGCAACGUACUCGGCCUCAGCGGUGGAUAGGGCAACGGAGGUUUGUUUCUUAGAGUUCCAUGACACCAGGGACCUUCCUAAGAAUUGGCACGUCCCCGAUGUACUCUUCCUAUCGACCUUACAUCCAGCAUAGUCGGAGUCUGAGUAUCCAACUAAGUCAAAGGUAGACCCCUUUGGAUACCAGAGCCCGAAGCAAGGCGUAGCAACCAAAUAUCUAAGAAUUCGCUUUACCGCCACUAAGUGACACUCCUUAGGAUCGGAUUGAAAUCUAGCACACAUGCAUACGCUAAGCAUAAUAUCCGGUCUACUAGCACAUAAGUAAAGCAAAGAACCUAUCAUUGACCGGUAUGCUUUUUGAUCAACGGACUUACCUCCUUUGUUGAGGUCGGUGUGUCCGUCGGUCCCCAUCGGAGUCUUUGCGGGCUUGGCGUCCUUCAUCCCAAACCGCUUUAGCAGAUCUUGCGUGUACUUCGUUUGGGAGAUGAAGGUGCCGUCCUUGAGUUGCUUCACUUGGAACCCAAGGAAGUAGUUCAACUCGCCCAUCAUCGACAUCUCGAAUUUCUGCGUCAUCACCCUGCUAAACUCUUCACAAGACUUUUGGUUAGUAGAACCAAAUAUUAUGUCAUCGACAUAAAUUUGGCACACAAACAAAUCACCAUCACAAGUCUUUGUAAAAAGAGUUGGAUCGGCUUUCCCAACCUUGAAAGCAUUAGCAAUUAAAAAGUCUCUAAGGCAUUCAUACCAUGCUCUUGGGGCUUGCUUAAGUCCAUAGAGCGCCUUAGAGAGCUUACACACAUAGUCGGGGUACCGUUCAUCCUCGAAGCCAGGGGUUGCUCCACGUACACCUCCUCCUUGAUUGGCCCGUUGAGGAAAGCACUCUUCACAUCCAUUUGGUACAACCUGAAAGAAUGGUGAGCGGCAUAUGCUAGCAAAAUACGAAUUGAUUCUAGCCUAGCCACAGGAGCAAACGUCUCCUCAAAGUCCAAACCUGCGACUUGGGCAUAACCUUUUGCCACAAGUCGAGCCUUGUUCCUCGUCACCACCCCAUGCUCGUCCUGUUUGUUGCGGAAUACCCACUUGAUUCCCACAACAUUUUGCUUCGGACGAGGCACCCACUACAAGAAAAAAGACUAGUAGCGACAUUUUAGUAGAGGCAUUUUUAAAAGUGCCUCUUAGGGCCUGUUUGGCAUGGCUCUAGAGCAAAACUCCAAGGGGGAGCUGGCCAGAGCAUGCCAAACACCCUAACUCCAGAGUUGUAAACUCUAUGGAGUUUUUGGAGCUGCAGUACAAUUUUUUGGAGUACCUCUUUUGCUGCUCUGAAAACUCCAAAAAAGCAACCUAGUCAUGGAGUUUUGAGUUAUUUACUCGCGAUUGCCACUGGUUAUGAGAAACAAUCUAAACUCUGGAGCAGAGCUGCUCCACCCAGAGUUUUAGAGUAGAGCUGCUCUGGGGUGGAGCAGAGCCAUGCCAAACACACCCUAAGUCUAGUAUGCCAACGGUAUAGCCACAUUUCUUUGAGGCAUUUUCGAAAAUGCCACAAAUAUGUGAAAUGUACAUUUGUAAAUGUGUGAUGGUCUUUACUCUUGAGACAUUGCUAAAGGCACUUUGAAAAAUGCCUCUAAUUUAUGUCCAAUUAUUAAUUUUUUAAUCAGCUUGCACCAAAUUGAUGUGAUAUUUUAGAAAAAUAUUUACAUUUUGGAAUAGGUGAGCAGUGUAGUGGCAUUUUUAGAGACAUUUUUGAAGAUGUAACAAAUAUGUGAAAUAUACAGUUUUUUUAGUGUCAUGGACUUUAGUCCUGAUAUUAUUGCUAAAGACAUUUUGAAAAACGCCGAUUAUUUAUGUCUAAUUUAUUAUUGUUGUUUAUUAAUCAACCUGCAGCAACUAAUUGAUGUGAUAAUUCAAAAAAAUAAAAUGGUUAUAUAACACACAGACAAAGUCUCGAACUCGUGACCUGUAGUAAGUCCCAAGCAACUGUAGACCACCAUGGCACAUGCACGUUUUGUUAGUAGUGGGAUCAAAAUACAUAUAUGUACUGAACAAUCGCGAACACAUCAAAACACCUCUUCAUCUUCUUUCUGCAGAUGCGCGGUCUUCUUUCCCCUUUCUCCGGAGCCGCUCGCCACGUUGUCAACUCUGAUGGCUCUGUGGAUAAAGGCGGAGUUCGCCCACUUCUUCCCCGUGCUCCCAACGCUGAAUCCGCCGCCGUCCCUAAACCCUCAACCGUGCGCCGCCGUGCCUUCGUAGAUCGCCGCCGCGGGCAAGCCUGUGUGCCACCGCCAUUGCCGCCGCUUGGACGUCAACCCUCACCGGUGGGUGGCGGCGUUACUUCGUCGUUCUCCUUAUCGCGGAUUUCUCGGGAGAACACCACCGCGGGACCCGACCAGGAGCGCCGUCGGCUCUCGCACCUCCCGCCACCGCGCACCUUCGUGGUUCACCCUCGGCUCGUAUUAUUAUGACAACAGUAAGAAAAUUAAUCCCAGUUAUUUUGCUAUGACCUGGCUCCGCCCCUGUAUAUGAGUUUGUUCUGUAUUUCAUUGUUAGAUUGGUAUUCUCUUAAUUUACUUGUUACUGCAUUACUUAACAACUAACAGACCUAUGUGUGAUAUGGUACACUAAGUGUUUACUACAAUAGUGAUAUUUGUAUGUCCCUGUACUUAUUUCAGCAUCUGUGAUGGACAAGAGUUGGAUGAGCAAACCAAGAACAAGUGAUGACUAUAAGAUUGGUGUGACCCAAUUCCUUACUUUCGCAUUUCAUAAUGUUCGACCGGGUGGCAAGGUUAAUUGUCCAUGUGUUCAGUGUAAAAACAAGUCAACAAAAUAUUAUGAAGAAAUUAGAACCCAUUUGAGAUGCAACGGCAUUCUGCAAGGAUAUACUAUAUGGAAUCGACAUGGAGAGGAACACGGUUCAACACCAGCUCCAUUUGCUCACAUAUCAUCAAGCACACACAACCAUGCUCCAUUUGAACGUCCUUGUACUUCUCCUGCACAAACUGGAAGCAAGAGAAAUGAUGACAUGCAAGGGCUCCUAAAUGCAGCAUUUCCUAUGGCUGAUAAGUAUGAUACAGUGUCCAGUUCAGAUGAAGAAAUGGAUGGUAUUAAUAAUUACUAUACAAUGUCCAGUUCAUCAGAUGAACCAAUAGAUGACAAUGCAUUUGAGUUUGCUAACAUAAAUGGUAGUCAACAAGAUGUUACAUCAGAGGAGGUUGACCAUGAAACUAAAGAUGACAUUAUUUCCAUCAUCCUUAAAGAUGCUAAGGCAAAGCUACAUCCUGGGUGUGAUGCAUUCACGAAGCUUUCCUUUCUUGUCACCAUAUUUCAUUUGAAAUGCUUACAUGGAUGGACUCAGGAGUCAUUUACAUCACUUCUUGGUGUUCUUUCUGCCGCACUCCCUGAAGAGGCAAACUUACCAAAAAACUACCAUGCAGCAAAGAAAAUAAUUCGAGGACUAGGUCUUGAUUAUGUUAAGAUUCAUGCAUGUCCAAAGGAUUGCAUGCUUUUCUAUGGUGACCAGGCGAAACAAGAAACUUGCCAUAUUUGCAACACUUCACGUUGGGCAGAAAGAAAAAAGAAGGGUGAAGCAACAAAAACAAAGGGAUAUAAGAAGAAACCAGCAAAGAUCUUGCGGUAUUUUCCUUUGAUACCGAGGCUGAAGAGGUUGUAUGCUAAUGAGCAAACAGCAAGCGACAUGCGUUGGCAUGAUGAGGGUCGCACAAAGAAUGGGCUGUUGAGGCAUCCAGCUGAUGGGCAAGCUUGGAAUGAUUGUAAUUUGAGAUAUCCUAAUUUUUCUGCUGAUUCCCGCAAUGUGAGGCUCGGUCUUUCUAGUGAUGGAGUAAACCCUUACAGAAACAUGAAUAUUAGUCACAGUACAUGGCCAGUACUGCUUAUUCCGUACAAUCUACCUCCCUGGAUCUGCAUGAAGCAAACAUCUUUUAUACUGUCUAUGGUCAUUCCAGGACCAGAUAGCCCAGGAAAUGAUAUUGAUAUAUUUCUACAACCACUUAUUGAUGAAUUACUACAGUUGUGGGAGGGUGUUGAAACUUUUGAUGCCUCUUCAAGGAAGAAGUUCUCUCUCAGAGCAGUUUUGAUGUGGACUUUAAAUGAUUUCCCUGCAUUAGGUAACUUAUAUGGUUGGAGCACAAAGGGAAAAUAUGCAUGUCCAUCUUGUGCUGAUUUGACGAGGUCAAUUUAUUUGAAGAAGGGACACAAGUGUUCAUAUAUGGGUCAUCGUCGGUGGUUGCCUCAGUCCCAUCCCUAUCGUCGUAGAAGGAACCACUUCAAUGGUAUGGAGGAGAAAGAACUAGCGCCUGUAACAAUGAGUGGAAGUGCAGUUUUGAGGAUGAUGGAUGGUAAAACUUUUUUGUAUGGCAAAGGAAAGGUUCAUCCGGAGGAAGAACAAUCAUCAGGGCACAAAGCUAAAGCCAAAAAGAAAGGAAACGGUAAGAAACAAGGCAAAAAGAGGAAACGGGUCCAAAGGGAAAAACAACAAGGUAAGAAAGAGAAGAAACCUGAGGAUUGGAUAAAGAAGAGGUCUAUAUUCUUUAAACUUCCAUACUGGGAACACAAUCUGUUACGACACAAUCUUGAUGUGAUGCAUAUAGAGAAAAAUGUAUGCGAUAAUUUUGUUGGGACAUUACUAAAUGUAAGUGGUAAAACAAAGGACAAUCUAAAAGCAAGGCUUGACUUGGAGGAGCUCGGAAUUCGACCUGAACUACAUCCACAAUUGGAUAACAAAGGAAACAAAGUAAUGCCUGAUGCACCCUUUACCAUGUCCAGAGAUCAAAAGGAGAUUCUUUGCUCUGUUAUUCAAAAUCUUAGGACACCCGAUGGUUUUGCAUCAAAUCUAUCUAGAUGUGUGGAUGUUAAGGAGUGCAAGUUAUCUGGCCUUAAAAGUCAUGAUUGCCAUGUACUAAUUGAGGAAAUUCUUCCUAUCGCACUACGUUCUUGUUAUCCCAGCAAAGAUGUCAUGAAAAUAGUUGUAGAUUUAGCUUCUUUCUUUAAAGGAUUAUGUUCAACAGUUCUAGACACCUCAGAACUUGAUAAGCUUCAAGAGCGCAUUGUUCGUAUACUAUGCGACAUGGAAAGGGUUUUCAUCCCAUCAUUUUUUACCAUUAUGGUACACCUACUUGUACACUUGGUUGAGGAGGCAAAGUUUGGAGGUCCAGUACAUUAUAGGUGGAUGUACCCUAUUGAAAGGUAGACUUUCUUGCAUAGAAUUUACUCAUUUAUUUCAACAUCAGAUUUUUAAUAUUAUCUCAACUCCUAGGUGGUUCGUUCGACUCAAGGCGCAUGUUCGCAACAGGACACAUCCUGAAGGUUCCAUUGCUGAAGGAUAUAAAGCAGAAGAGUGCUUGACAUUCUGCUCAAGAUUUCUUGAUGGAACUACACGUUUUACACGACCAUCUCGGAAUCCUGAACCUUCAAAAAUAUCUAAAUCUUUUUUCUUGUUCGAGAGUGCUGGUGAACCCAUAGGGAAAGCUACUGUUGUAAACCAAUUUGACAAUAAGUUGCUCACUCAAGCGCAUAGAUAUGUAUUGAGACACUGUGAUGAACUAGAAGAUCUUCGUAGGUGUGUCAAAAUAAUAAUGCUUAAUCACAAAUAUUCUUUCUCCAAAUUACUGAAAAUGAUCUAAAGGUAUUUGAUUUUAGGGAGUAUGUGGAUUCAUUGAUAAAUCAGCAGCGCCAACAUCUCACACCUUCAAAUACUCAGGAUUUCGUUGAUAAGCAUUUUGCUGAUUGGUUGGAGCAGAAGGUACAAAUUUAAUUCUUUGCUUAGUCAAUUCAGUAUUUGUGCUUAUCUGUUUAACCAUAUAUGCAGAUACUACUUAGUGAUGAUGGCUUAAACAUUACUGGAAUUACGCGAGCAUUGGCUGGAAAACCAAACAGAUGUGGGAUGCGUUACAGCGGCUUUGUUAUAAAUGGUUUCAGGUUCCAUACUAGGAGUCGUGAGAGCAAUCGCUUGACACAGAAUAGUGGUGUCGUUAACACUACAACAGAUGGAACUAAUUAUUAUGGAAGACUCACUGACAUCAUAGAAUUGUCUUAUAAAGAUGAUUAUAAGGUGGUUCUGUUCAAAUGUGAUUGGUAUGACGUUCAUCACCGCAAUGGCAUAAAACAUGAUGAGUUUGGAUUCACCCUUGUAAAUUUCAAACGACUGAUACACACUGGAGGCAAGAUAGAUCAUGAUCCCUUUGUUUUCUCUUCACAAGUAUUCCAAGUGUUUUAUGUGGAGGACCCAAAAGCAGAUGGAUGGAAUGUGGUAGUAUCAGUAAGACCAAGGGAUCUAUUUGACAUGGGUGCUGAACCAUCUGGUGGUGACGACGAUGAAACGACAUAAUUUUCUAGGAGAGCUAAUAUAUUUUCAGUCAUUUUGUUACAAUGUCAUUUUAUUCAAUGCUGCUGUAAUCAGUGAGAAUCUUGUACGACAUAUUCUUAAAAUAUAGUUACAAUAUGAUUUAAUUUCAGAAAGUUGUCAACAUGUCCGAAUGGUGUUAAUCAGUAAGCUUGAAGUCCACAUUCGAUGCAGCAUCACAUUUGAAAACAACUUUUUCAUUAUCGACUAUCCUUAAUUUUUUCAUGUAAAAAACAUAAAAAUUCAAACGUACUUGACUAUGAGAUGAGUCUCUGGGCUGGCUAUGAGGGUUCAGAUUGAAUACAAUGUAGGAUGUCACACCCCAAAAAUUCACAUUUUGGGGAUGUGAGCUUUUCAUCAUGCAAAACUAUUUUAAACAACAAGUUUCACUAAGUUUUAAAACUUUUUUUAUUGAAAUUAUCCUUAUGAAAAAAACACAAGGAAUUAUUUUUAAAUUUACUCUCAAGUAUAUUCCUUGUUGGAGAUAGAGAGAAUAAUAUAAAUAAUAUUUUCAAUUAGCUUUAUAUUUUAUUUUAAUUGUUGGAAAAAAAUAAAUAGAGAACAAUAUAGAGGCAACUUUAUAUUUCAAAUUCUCUAGCAUAAAUACUAUAUUUUAUUUUGCAUACAUGUCAAUGUGCAUUUUACAUAACUUCAUGCAUUCAUAAUUAUAAAAUGUUCUCUGGAAUUUUCCAUGAUUUUACAAUUUUUUGGUUUUUCAAAAUAGAUCAUGGUUUUUAUUUUAAAAAUAUAAAUCAGUUUAUAGGUGAAAUAUGAGAACCAAAUACAUUCUAAAAAUAACUAGAACCAUUGUAAUAAAUCUUAUAAAAGAUGUUGUUUCUUUGGGCUAGCCGGCCUGUAGUUGCGCGCCCAGGCCGCAACCUGGGCCUGGGCCGCGCAUCUGACCCACGCGCGGGGUGUGGUGCACGCCCAAACUCCCUGUAGCCGUAUGAUUCAAGCCGACGGCCAGGAUCUUCCAUGCACUGUAGCAGGUUCUAUAAAAAUCUAAAAUCUCGGGGUGAGGUGGAACCCUAGCUCAUUUCUGUCAUCCCUAGCCGCCACAAAACAGCCGGCCACCAGGUUGUCUCCUGGCCGACCGCGCUCUGCUGCUCAAAACUUCCUCUCUCCCUAUCUGUUAUGCCUCGGCCAAAAUAGCUCUUGGCAAACGGCUUGGCAAGCAGCUGUCUGCUGGCUUCUUGCCUUAGCCAAAUGAAGAUCAUAUUUUUCACGACCUCUCUUUUAUUUGUUUUAGUUCUUUUUUUUGUUUGACUGAAUCUCAGAGAAAACGUCUUGCUCCCUCCACCAGGCCGCCAGGACGCAACGUUUCUCUCUUUUGAAUCUGCUGUUUUUUUUCUUGAAUCCGACGCUAGUUCCCUGGCCUAGCGCAGGCAUGUCUUUUCAUUUACCAGAGAUGGUCGGCCGAUUAUGGGGCGCUGUCUCUAACCUUUUAAAAACUCGGAUCUAGUUCUCAUUUACUCGAAUCCCUUACUGUGAGAAUGAAUGUAUGAGAUGGAUCUAAUGUAAUAUUUGGGAUCGAGUUAUGAGUUGAUUAAAAAAACGUGGAUCCGAGAGUUUGCGUUAUUUCUGUUAUUUUCUGUGAUGAUUUUCUGUACCUAUUCUAAUCUGUUCUGUCAUCUAGGCCGUGGAUGUAAAAAAAGAUCCCGAGCCACUGAUCUCUGUUGACCAAGAUUUAAAAAUGAUUAGGGUUAGGUUAUUAAACCCUAACCCUAAAACCUCGAUCUAUUUUACUAUCUCGGAUUUCCUCGGUUUGGUCGAGACCAAGUCUCAUUUAGUGGCCGAAAAUCCUAGAUUUAGGGUCAGGUAAAACCCUAACCCGAGAGAUCUAAAAUUCUUUCUGUCUAUUCUAUUUCUGUCUGUUCUCGGGUGAUGAACGAUGAUAAAAAAAUUUGAGUUCAUUCACAUAGAUCCGAGACCUUUCUGUGAUCUCAUAAAACGAGCUCUUGGAAAAUCUAGCUCUUUGAAAUAUUGGCUGAGAGCUUAUAAAUGUUGAUAUUGACUUUGGUAAUAUGUAUUUAGCUUCUCGAACCUUAAAUAUAUGUUAUAAAAAUAUCAGUGACAACCUUUACGAAACGAAGGUAGUAGUUUUUGUACAUUUUUUAGUAAGACAAAGUUUAACUUUGAUUUUUAAAAGUCAAACAUUAUUUGAAUUUAAAACGUGUGUGGAAUUGAAAAAUCGAUGGCUAGCUAAUCAAAUUGGUCAAUAAACUAGUCAACGUGAUCAAACUAAAAAAAUGUUGCACUUUAUUACUUGAGAAAUUUUCCAGUAGAAAUUUUCCAGUUGAAAUUUUAAAAGAAUAAAUCUAAAUAAUUAAUGAAGUGUUUCUUGGCGCGCUUAAACUUCUCGAAAAUAUUGUGCUUUCGGCUUUCGCGCUCUGUUUAUCCGCGCCAAAAAAUUCCCCCCCCCCUAAAGUGUUGGAACCACCCUCCCAUGUUUCUCGAUCACACCUCCUAGAAAUCUCCUCCGGUUCUUCCACCUCCCUGUAGUUCUCGCUCUCCUGCCACCAUUCUCUUCGUGCUCCUGCUCCAUAUGCCCUCCUUUCAGUCUGCUGCUUGAUGAUCCAUCGCCCAGCUGCUGGUUGAUCCGUCGCCCAGCUGGUAACAGAUUUCUUCGUGGGUGCAGUAGUACCAUAACUGACCCACCCUCUAAUCUUUACUCCGACCUACAAGGUACUGCUGUAGCCUGACUCAAUCAAUGUGAUUUUACUGAAGCAUUCACCGAUUAUACAAUCAUUUGUAGCCACAAAUGCACAACGUUUUUUAAUCUGCUGUCAACGAUUGCAACUUUUUUAUUUCAAUCUGGUAAUUCUUAAAUCAAUCUGCUGUCACCGCAUGCAAUACUUUUAAUUUUGAUCCGGUAAUUCUUAGAUUAAUCUGCUGUCACUGAAUGCAAC
Molecule: long non-coding RNA, 65324 nt
Filed under: Zea mays
Lineage: Eukaryota; Viridiplantae; Streptophyta; Magnoliopsida; Poales; Poaceae
Description: long non-coding RNA (ZMAY_LNC001427)
Source: RNAcentral